RNAcentral lists this long non-coding RNA (79718 nucleotides) under Prunus persica (peach). The record is from RNAcentral. Lineage: Eukaryota; Viridiplantae; Streptophyta; Magnoliopsida; Rosales; Rosaceae.
GAUGGAGUAGUACUUUUGCCGCACUUGCUUGCCACUCUUCCAGCAAACUCAGCAGAUAUCUUCCCAAUUCCAUCAGAGAAACAAUAUUUAACUCCACCUGUUUCAGUUUCCACAUCAGGAAUGAAUUCGAUUUCAUCCUUACCAACGUCAAAAGUCUCCCUUGAAGAGCUGAAAGCCUGACCCAACCUGGCAGCAUGUUUUGCUGCAUUUUUUAUGUCACUAAAAUCACCCAUCCAAUUUCUGAUGUCUUGUGCAGUCAACCCACUUCUAGAAGCAAACAUCCACACAGAAUGCUCUCGUAAUUGACUCGACGAAUGGGCAAGAAACUCAAACUUCUUUUCACCAAUGACUAAGCCAUUUCUUAGAGUAGAAAGUAUCCUUUCAUAAACUCCAGUUCUCCUUUCCUCUUCUGUAGCAGUUGUAGAAUUUGUCCGUGGACAUAAAUCUCCUGAACGCAUCUUACCCAUGUCCUCAUCCACGAAAGAAACACGAAGGAAAUUAUCAACAUCUUCAGGAUAAUUUCGCAAAACACGAUUGGAUACAUUUGCCUCUGGACCACAGAAGUAAACUUUAGAUGGUGUUACUUGAACCCUGUGCACAUACACCAUCCCAUCAUCUAAAGAAAUAGCUGGCGACUGAGGAAUUCGCUUGCAUGCCAUGUACUCUUUGUACUGCUCAGUAAGCCAACUCACAGGCUCAUAGCAGCACCCUUUUAACCGAAACAGCUUGUCCAGGGCACACUCUAUAUAUUCAAUUCUUAUUAUGCUAGGAUCCACUAGCUCAUAAAAAUUGACAUCAAGUGCUUGCCCAGGAACACAUCCAUGCUGAACCAAGGAAUUUAUCUUAAAAAGGAUUUUGUAUGGCAAGUUAAUGCCAAGGGGUGGACCCACGAUAGGAACCAGAUCUGAAGUACAGGAGAAAGUGUUGCCGCUCUCCAGAACCAACCACCCUUCAUUUUCUUUAUAAUGAGCAAAACUCUUGCGUAGAUUUGGAAGCUCACAAGUAGGUGGAAGCUCCAAACAUACAGCAGAAGAUUGCCCAAUGCAGCGUGAAGGAGUGAAAUCAACUUCUCGAACCCACCCAUUUUGAGAAGCUUUCUGGAAUAUCCGAGGGGCACCAAGUAACUAGCAAGAAAAAGAAGAAAGAAGGAGCACAAUGUUAGUCAUUUGCCCUAAGUUCCAGACAUAAUAUAGUAAUUCUGCUAUGCUAUAAGGAACACAAUAGUCUGUCUCAACAACGUUCAAAUUCUCGCCGAAACAAUGAAGUUAUAGUGUCUGAGAAAUUUGACAUGAGAUCAGAUUAUCAUGUAGGAACUAGUGAAUGGAAAACAUCUUAUUCAAGUAUCUGCUGCAAUUGGAAAACAUCUUAUUUGUAUAUUUCAUGGCAAAAUGCAAAGUCAUGAUUCACAAAUUCUGUAGUUUAACUGGCAAACCUGGAUUAGAAGAAAGUUUGGAAGUUGGCCACGUGGAUGAUGUAGCUCAAUCUGGCGAAUACUUUCAGAGGAGAUCUCUAGCUUGUAUUCAACAGCAUCAAGAGAUAACAAUAAGUAAAUAUUUUUAAAUUCCUUCCCGAAUUUCACUGAAACAUCCAAUGCUGUCCAAAGCACAGAAAACUGUCCCUCAGAAAUCAGGCAUCCCAAGUGCAGCUUGACAAGUUCCAUGCUAUGUUCAAAGUUUUGAAGCUUCAAUUUUCUAGCUGUUUCAAAGUACAAAUAGAAACUAAUGACUCAGAACUCAUUACAACUUCUCUUUGCAUAAAUUACUUGAAAAGGCAAAGGCUUAAUUACUACUGAAAGCAAGCAAGAAUUUCAAAAGGGAGUUUGAAACCAACUCUCGGAAUUUAAUGACAGAGCUGACAAUUAUCUAAAUUACAGGACAAAGUGUUACCUCUCUCCAGAAUGAACGGUCCUUCGUUUUCUUUAUAAUGAACAAAACUACUGCGUAGAUUCGGAAGCUCGCAACUUGGUGGAAGCUCCAAACAUACAGCAGAAGAUUGCCCAAUGCAGCAAGUAGGAGUGAAAUCAACUCCUCGAACCCACUGCCUUCUGGAAGCUUUCUUAAAAAUCCGAGGAGCACCAAUUAACUAGUAAGAGAAAGAAGAGAGGAAGAGAAAAAUGUUAGCAAUUGGUAAAUAUGCGCAAACUAGUAGAACUUAAAACAGUUAUCCAUGUUUUUCAUUUAAAUUUUAACUGUUGGGCAAACCUGGAUGAGAAGAAACUUUGUAAGUUGACCGCGUGGAUGAUGUAGCUCAAUCUGGCUAACAUUUUCAGAGGUGAUCUCAAGCUUGUAAUCAAACGAAUCAUAAGAGAAGAACAAGUAGAUGUUCUUAAGUCCCACCCCAAAUUUCACCAAAACAUCCGAUCUUGCCCAAAGCACAGAAAACUGUUCCUCGGAAAUCUGGCAUCCCAAGUGAAGUUGUACAAGUUCCAUGCAGUGCUCAAAGAUUUCUGACUUGGGCACCAUGUCAAACUUCGCUUUUCUAGCUUUCAGAUAAGAUUUAUUGUACCACAGGCUUCGAGCAUCGGCUAAUGGAAUUAUGAUACCAGCAAAUUUUGCAUCUGUGAACUGAACUAUGGCAAGUGUUCUUGAUUUUCCAUCUUUGGGAGGAAGAAACUUUAUAGCAUGAACAGUCCCUUCUCCAGUAUAUGCCUCCAGAAAUUCUGUCACUGCUGCUGGAGACUCGCUGGAGGAAAAUCCAUACAAUUGAAUUGUCUUAACCAUUUUCGUAAUGUUGAUGGCAACUGCUGCAGAUUCAACGUACAAAUUGAUAUUAAUAAUAGCAUAAAGAAAAACCAAUUCUCCAAAGUAAAUAACUGAGCUCAAAAAAAUUAAGUAAACAGAAUGCAGAACAGAAAGCAAGGGCCUGGCAUUUCAAUUUUCAAGCAAAUGCAAAUGAGAAAAAAGUCUGACCUUGAAUUUUUGGAAUGUAAGCACUGAGAUACUGAGAUACGACCAAAGGCUGCUGUGUAAGAAGCAAAGCUCAUGAAGCCACUACAUAUAUAGGGAAAACAAGCACACUGUACAUAACUUGCCAUGGCAGUUGUAGCAGGGAAAUAAAAUCUCAAACUUGGCAUUGCAGUUUUAGCAGCGAAGAAAAAAAACUUGUCAUGGCAGUUGUCCUAUUGGCGCCAAUCAGUAGAAUAACGACUGCCGCGAUCCCCUGCUUCGCAGCAAUGACAUAACAUCCUAAUGCAAAGAUUACGUGGCGAGGAGACACUUUCUUCAAAAGGGGAAGGUAUCAAAUUGUAUUGUGACGCGUCGCAACAUAACGAUGGACAAGUAGUGCUACACAGUAUUAACAAUUUUAUUUUUUUUCACUACUCAUUUGACUUUUAUUAUUUUAUCUAUAUAACGUAAAUGUUUGCCUAUCUUGUAACGUGACACCACGUGAGAAGAGACAUAUGGAUACACCCCGCUUUGUAUAAGUUUUACUUUUAUAAGAUAGUCAAUAAUGUCGUUCAUAUAUGUUUGUACAUUUAUUUGCAUUAAAAAUACUUUUGAGAUUAAAUGUACUUAAAAGUUCAUAAAUCAAAUUUGUGUUAUGGUGGUAACUCUUAAGUUAGCUUAAGGAGGGUGAAUCAAGCUGCUAGUUAAAAUGAAACUAAACAUUUGGCCAAGAACCUUCUGGAAGUUUUUGACUCGACCAGACAUAAGGUCUUAGUGCUUGGGAGAAGUCUUGGCUAAGAAUCUUCUAGAAUCUCCCAUUGCCAAUUAGCAGUGGGCACCUAUACUCUCCAUGAUGGGGAAUCUUUGUCGUUACCCCUUGAUGAACAAGGUUAGAAACAGUAAUGUAUCAAUAGAAUAGAGUAUAUGGAGUACUUUUUGAAAUAUGGAACUUGUUAGGAAAGGGGUUAGACGGUGGAGCCAUCCAUGAUCCACCAAUCACAAACCUAGUUGGGACUGUUUUAAAAUUGCAUUAGCAAUUUUUGUUCUAAAGUUCUCAAGUAUAAUAUUUUCCAAGAACCUUCGAACCAAUCAUGAUGUGUUAGUCCUCCUUGGGAGAAGUUUUGGCAAAGAAUGUUCUAGAAUCUCACAUGGGAAAUGGGCUGGGAAACUUUGCCCCUUGCUGAGCAAGGUUUUGGACCAGAGAAGGAGAGAGCGUAUACUAGAGACUGAGUGAGGAUGAAUUAGAAUAAGUGCUUUGUCUAAAAGCAGUAAUAGAUUAGAGUAUUUUAGGGGACUUUUUGGAAAGAUGGAACUUGCUCCAAAAGGAGUUAUGUGGAGCCAUCCACUAGUCACCAUCCUAGUUAGUAGGCCUGUUUCUUUCAUGCAGCAUUUGGGAAGAAAACUGUUAAAUGGGUUGAUUGCCAAAUUUGGACAAUUAAUCCGUAUGAAUAUUAAACAAAUUGUUAACCACCUAGCAAGUGCUUUCAUAUGAGCUUCUCAUGUCACAAACUUCUUUUUCUAAAUUAUUCAUGAUCAACUAAGCUGGUGAUUUAAGGCGUUCAUAUCUGCAGGCUUGAAAAACUUCCCUUGCUAAUUAAAUCUACACUAGUUUGUGUACUUCAAGAAAGCAAGAGAGUGAAAUUCUUUUGGCAUACAACAUUCAGAACAGCACACAUACAAUUUGUUCUCUUAAAAUACAAGAUUAUCAUAACAAAACUCCCCUCAAAAUGGAAGGAUAUUAUGCUAAUACUUGCACUUGAGAAUGACAUUGUUUUAUUAAAAAUUAGAAUAAUUACUAAUAAGCUUGAUAUCUUAUUCUACAAAAACAGCUUGAAUUUGCUGGAGCUCAUCUCGUGUCCACAUCUGCAGACUAAAAUAGAAUCAACUCAAAUCACUUCAUCUUUAAUCGCAAAUAGAUUUAUACGGUGAAACCUGUUUCACGAUUGGAAUUAAGGUUCAACUAUAGCAACAUCUCAGCAAUCUGAACAUCAUUAGUAUAUUUUAUUUUAUAUAUAUAAUCAUUCUAUAUGUUAUGUUGGGCGACAAUAUUUGGCUCAUGAUUGUUAUUUGGGCCUAGUGCUACGGCUUGAUUCAAACUUUUGCGCACGAAAACAAAUUGUUUGACGAAUAUUGUUAUUUGGGCCUAGUGCUAAUUCCUCCCUACCCGAAAAUUGUCAAGAAAUAAAAAUAGGUAGAUAUGAAGCAAAAAGACCAAGGAAAAGAAAAAGGGGAAGAAGAAAAAAAACAUAGAAAAGAGAGAGAAGGAAUCAACAAGCCAGGAAAAGAGAAAAAACAAAAAAGGGGAGAGAGAGAGAGAGGAGACAGGAAUAAAAGUGGUAAGCAGUCACGUGAUUAGAUAUAAGUGGUAUUGAACUCUCUAUAAUUAUGUUGAAUUGAGUAAAAAUUUUUGGACACCCAAUUUUUCACUACACCUGAGCCCAAUUUAUUGUACACUAGAGCCCAGUUUUUUUAGCAAUAGAUGCUAAUUGUUUUUACAUGUACUAAUUGAUUUAUAUUUUUUUUUCAAAAUCCAUUUGGUUCAUAUUUGAUGGAUAAUAAUAACAUGAUGGAUGCAAUAUCAAUUUUGCUAUUUAUAUUAUUUUAAUCAUUAUAUCGGUGCUAUACAUGUAUCUAAUUUUUGAAAAUUUUCCGUAUUGACGUACCCAUACUCAUAUCCAUACAACGUGUAAGUUCCACCUACUCAACUUCCAAAUCCUUGAUCCGCCACUAGUUAGCAUAAUCCAACGAUUAAGAGAUAUGAUCUCACCUAAGUGUCUUACCUAAGGGCCAUAUACAAGGCCCUCACUAUAGAAUGACUUACAGGGCUCCGAGUAUCUUAUCCCCAAUAUAAUAACAGGCCCAAAUUAGUAAUCUCUAACUAACAAUAGUUUUUGCGAAAUUCUUGUUGAGGCCCAAAAAAUCCAAAGGUAGGCCCAAAUAUAUUUAUAGCCCAGUACGACACAUAACUUGGGAAGAAACCCAAUUUGGAUACGCAAGAGUUCAUCAUAUGAACUUGCACACGUGCCACGCCAAGCAAAUAAGCAACACACCACGCUACAAGCUUAAGUGGGCCCAAGCCACGUGAAUGUUUGGGGCUUGCUGAGCGGGUUGUGGUAUGGAUAGUUACGAGUUUUCAUGAGGCCUAUUGAUGAGUCGAGAAAUUGAACUUUUGGGCUGCUUUGGAGCCCCAAAAACUCAAGCCCAUUUCUUGAGCCCAAAUAUGUGGGUAAGCAUAAAAGAGAGAAAAUGGUAGCUUAUUAACCUAUAAAAUUAGCCAAUCACCUUAGUAAAAAUAGUCCAUUGGCUCAUCCCCUUAAUGAACUAGCCCAUUACUUUAAAGAAUGGCCCAAGUGACCAACAAAAUAUCUGAAAGUCUCCAGCACAUGGCUGGAGACAAAACCACGACAAAAGCAAAAGGCCACUCUCGUCUGCAGGCUGCUGGGAGUGUCCAGCACAUGGCCAAAGAUAAAUCCCAACACAAGCCAUCCAAAAAUCAAAGGAUACUUGAGCAAAACACCAUCUAGACUAGUGCCAUUACCCACUCAUUUCUCAUACCAGCUCAUGCCAUGAAAUAAAGGAGGAAAGAAUGAGAUAUGGUAGCCAAAGAUAGGAGAUUGCCACAGGAAUAGCUACGAGAAGACUCUAAAGCUCCCAAAAAUCUUGUCUCUGUGUAUUUGGAUUUAGGGAGAUUUCAUAAAAAGAGGUUGAAUCGAAGGAAGAGAAAAGAAAUGGAGGAGAAGACUUGGCUGAAAUUGGAGAGAACCCGUUAGGGUUUCUUGGGAAGAAGAAGCUUUCAGCGCCUAUAAAAGGAGGCACAUUCUACCCAACAAGACAACUCAUCGAAGGCAAGCAAAUAUAUCCAAAGAGAGCAAGCAUCACCUCUCAUCUCUAGAACCCUUCGAUUUCAAGCCAUGUUCUUCGAUUGCUUCCCUUUUUUCUCUUAUGUCAAGCCACCCAGAAGCCUGACGAAGCUUUCGUCAAGCUGCUGGAAAUAUGCUAAAGCCACCCAUGCUUUCAUCUUCUUCCUCUAUUUCCCAUAAACACACAUCCAGAGAGCAAGCUUGAUCUCUCAUCCCUUAAACCUCUGCAAUUUCGAGCCCCAUUCCUCUAUCUUCUCCCAUUUUCUCCUCUGAUAAAUCGUUCCAGAGCUUUCGUCAAAUUGCCGGAAACAACUGAACACACCCAUUGUUAUUCCCCCAUCUCUCUCUCUCUCUCUCUCUCUCUUCAACGAAUCCUUUUAGAAUCCCUUCCCCAUUGCCUUAAAAUCUCUGUUUCUCAUAGGAAAUUGCGGAUCUUUCUCUCUCUCAUGCUAAACUCAUGAAUGCUUAGCUCUCAUGCCACAAGCUUCUCAUGCCAAGCUAAGCAUUUAUUUGUAAGCGACUGUUGGUUUUAUUGGUGAAGAAGACCAAGGUAUUUCCUAAGACUCAGCUACCCUUUCGAAACACUCUUGGGGUCUGAUCCUUGAACUCAAAUUCAAAGGGCAAUUUCAUACAUUGCUCUUUACAGCAGCCCAGGCCCAUUAGUAGCUGCCGGAACAAAAAAGCCCAUACAAUUCUAUAAUAAGGCCUUCAUAUAUGGACCUUAGAAACAGACUACACAUCUCCAAAAAGUUGUAUUUGAUAAUGAAAGAAUUUAACAAAAUCAAAAUAAUUGAACAGAAGUCAUCACCUGAAGACCAUAUAUAUGGAGCUUAUUAUAGAACGACUCCAAUAGUUUUACAGUGGAUCCAUUGGGUCAAGACAUUAGGCCUGUGGCUUCCCAUUGUCGGAGUACAAAAUUAUUUUGACCUCAAUCUAUGAUUUAAGCACUAUUGUAACUUCCAUCACAUCAUAAAAAAUUGAAGCACUAUUACACAAAGGUUAAAUAAUAAUAAUAAUAAUAAUAAUAAUAAUAAUAAUAAUAAUAAUAAAAGAAGGUAGAAUUACAGACCGUGAAAGACAAAUUUUAUCAAAACAUUUUGCUGAAAAAAAAAAAGUUAGAGCAUGAAAGCAAUAUAGCAGGAAGUAGGAUGAGAUUCCAAUUAUUCAGCUUCAGCGUCCUGAACUUCAAUUUGCUUUAGAUCGAGCAGAAAGCUGAAGUUAUUAUGUAUAUGCCAACUUGAAAGCCAAAUUAAAAUCAAAGUUAGGAACUUGCAGUCUAAAUGACAUAAUCUUUAUCCUUAAAUAGAAUGAUGUUGUCUAAUAAAUAAAUAAAUAAAUAAAGAAAACUAAACGCUAGCAUCAUUGGUUUAUUCAUUGAGGCAAAUUUUCUUUGAAUUAAUUCCCAGUUAUAUAUACAAAGGUGGAAUCUAAGCUACUACCAACAUCAAUCAUAAAUCACUAUUACUAACAUCAACUUUUGAGCUUUAAGCAAACUACCCAAGCUGACAAGUUAAUUUAUAACACUUCUCUUCUCCAAAGCAUAAACUUCAGCUCACUUAGCAACGAAAUUUUUUGCAGAACUUACCUCAGAUUUGGAUUUGGAUGUGGAUUUGAAUGACGGGUCUAACGGUGCAAAGAAGAUGCUAGGGUAACAAAAUAUUAUAUUAUAUAUUUAUUAUUUAAAAAUAAACAUAUAAAUAUUGGGCCAGGUUCGAGGACGGGGAUGUCAAUACCAUCCCCGCCCCAUACUCGAUUGGAAUUUUUUAAAUUCAGGGAUUCCCAUAUCCAAUUCUCGUUUUGCCCUGAAAUCUCGCCCCGUUAAGGCCGGGUCCUCGUCGUAUCUCCGCCCCAACGGGGAUUUCUACCAUCCCUAAUUGAGCCUUGUUAUUUUUAAAUCCAUUUUUUGGUAAGUUUUAUUUUAUAGGUCCAUUUUUGGGUAAAUUUUAUAUGUCCAUUUUUAUUCAUCUGUUUUCCUAAUUUUAUGCUUCAUUUUCUCUUGACUUUAAACAAAAUAAAAAAUUAAGUCAGACCAUAUGAUUUGUGGCAGUUUUAGCCUAUGGCAGGCUGGGCUCAUGCCCAGCCGAAAUUUGUGUUAAAAAAAUAUUACCCACACUCUUCUCUCUCCUCUCUUCUGUAACAUCCCACAUCGACCAACAGAGAGGGGGUGAUGUGCCUUAUAUGUACAUGCCCGUGUCCAUCUAGUAUAAUGCCUUUUGAGAGCUCACUAGCUUCGAAGUAAUAGGAACUCCAAAGUUAAGCGAGUUGGGGCUAGAGCAAUUCCAGGAUGGGUGACCCACUGGGAAAUUGCUCGUAAGCUCCUAGAAACAAAACCGUGAAGGCAGAGAGGGGGCCAAAAGCGGACAAUAUUGUGCUACAGCGGAACUGAUCCCGGGAUGUGACAAUUUGAUAUCAGAGCCACUCUGCCGUGUGGUGCGAGUGUGCCGACGAGGAUGUCGGGCCCUUGAGGGGCGGUGGAUUGUAACAUCCUACAUCGACCAACGGAGAUGGAGUAAUGUGUAAUGACCCAAACCUAAAAUUCACAUGUAAUUAGUAAUUUAUUAUGCGGAAAGACAAUUACAAGGGAAACUCUGCCGGUUUUCGGUAGAAGUCAACCUUGUUAUUUUAUCGUGUUAGAAGGGCAAAUAGGUCUUUUGUGCCCGACAUUUGCCAGGUGUCGGACACGCACAGGGUCUGACUCGAAUUCCAAAGCAGAAUUUGGGUCGGGUCCUGUCAUAAUGUGCCUUAUAUGUACAUGUCAGCCUCCAUCUAACACAAGGUCUUUUGGGAGCUCACUGGCUUCGGAGUCAUGAGAACUCCGAAGUUAAGCGAGUUGGGACUAGAGUAAUCCCAGAAUGGGUGACAUCUCCUCUUUUGCCCAGCCCAAAUUUUUGUUUAAAAAAAAUAUUACUUACACUCUCCUCUCUCCUCUCUGUCUCUCUUUUUUCGUUCUUUUCCUUCUCUCUUCUCUCCCUCUUUUUUUCUUUUUUUUCCGUUCUUUUCCUUUUCUCUUCUCUCCCCCUCUUUUUUUGUCUUUCUUUCUUUUCCUUCUCUCAUCCCUCCUCUCUUUUUCUUCUAUCUUCUCUCCAGUCUCUCUUCUUCUCUCCCUUUCUUAUUUCUUCCUUUUCCUUCUCUCUUUUUUGUUAGAAAAAUAUUAUCUACGUUACUUAUGAUUAUUAAAUUUUUUUGUCUCGCACAAAGAUAGCUAUUUCAAAAAUUAUGGAACAUGAUUGAUAGGGCUAUGGAGCUCGGGGUGGAAAGCCAAAAACGGAUGUCAUAAUAGACGUUUAUAAAAGGAAACAAGGAGAAAUGAGGUCACAACUCGUUAAAAAAAAAAAAAAAAAAAAACUCUGCCAAUUUUCUUCCUUCUCAUUUCUCUCGAUAUAAACCCGGCUUUUUUUUUAAAUUAAUGUAGUCCCUUAUUUUAUCUUUCUUUUUAAUGUGAAAUAAAUUUUUUUUCUUUUAAUUUUAAUUUUGAUUUUAAUUUUAGUUUUUGUAUUUGUAGAUAUAGAUGCGUUUGAGGGUAAGGCUUAUUACUUCUCCCCUCACUAUGUAAUUUUUUUUUUAUCUUUAUUAAUGAAAUUUACUAUUUUCGUCAAGUUUAUUAUAUAAAUUUUGCCCAAUCAACUUUCGAAUCAUGGAACCGCAGCUGCAUAUGCUGGGUAGACAAUAAUUGAUGAGUUUAAGCCGACCAAAGAAAAGGAGUUUUUAUUAAAAAAAGAAAAAGAAAAAGGAAUCACAUUAUAAAAAAAGAAUAAGAAAAAAGAUAUCAAGUAGGUUGCUUAAACUCUUCAAACACCAGGAGCAGAAGAAGGUGUAGAUAUGGGCAUGAAGCAUAUGCUGAAGCUUGCCACGUUGCAAAUACGAAUGCGGGCAUUUCCACGAGCCUACAGACACAAAAGUAACGUAGGCAUAUCGACCAAAAAAAGAGAGUCACGUAGGCACAUAUACAACCUCCUCAACCGUAUAACCUAACGCGUUACGUAUUCUUUUACCCACUUCAUAAAAGUUUUCACCCCAUAGUUGGUUAAUAUUUCGACAGUGCCCUCGCAUUAGUCCUCCCUGGACUCCUCUUUCGUCUACAUAGAAGAUCACGAUCCACGUUGUCGAUUGCAAAGUAGGAGACGCAGUCCUUUGUCUACGACUUUCGACGUAAUACUCAACUUUCAUUUCAUGCUUAUCAUAAAAAAGAUUGCAUGCUUAUCAUAUUUAUUAUGUAUUUCACGCAUCUUAAUUGCUCAUGCAAGUCUCUUAAUGGGUAAAUUCAUACAAUAUCAGGCAAUUUCGCAUAAAAAAUAAACAAGCGAAUCUCUCAUGAAUUCGUAAGAGAUAUCUUUCCAAUAGUUUUUGUGAUACAUAUUUCACAUAUAUUUGACUAAAAAAGUAAUUAAGUUUCCUUAAUAAGUUAAUCUUCGUGCACUUAAUUUGGACCAUGUCUAUUAAGAAAAACUUAGUUGCAACAAGGAUAGCAAAACGUUGCUACUCCCAACCAAUAAUGCUACAUUACACGUGUGUCAAAACAUUAUUGGUCAGGAUAACAAAAUAGUAAUUUUCUCGUUUUAUAGACCUCCCUUAAAGUCAAGUGAAGCCAUCUUUGGAAAUUCCUUUUUUUCUUUUCAUAAGGACAAAGGGUUAAACAUAUUCGUCAUUUUCUUCUAGUUCACAAGAAUCAUCCAUUUGCCCUAAUUUCACAAUCAUCAAAAAGAAACUUUAUGAUCACCCCAUUCUCCAGAAAAAAGAAAUGUAUAACUUGGCCUCACCCCAUUCUCCAGAAAAAAGAAAUGUAUAACUUGGCCACUAAGUUUCUAGUGUCUAUCCAAUCCAAUCAAGCCAAGUCCAAGGUAAAAUUUUCAUACAUAUUCAUCCUUUCUUUUGCUGGCAAAAAUUUCAUUGGAUUUUAGCCAAUCUUAGAAUUCUUGAGACGGGAAAGGAAAACAAAUCCAAGGCAAAUAAAGUUAUAUGCAUUAAUUACCUUGAUUUGGUACAUGUUUAUACCUAAAUUAAAAGCAAAUCCAGUCAAAUGAAGAAAUCCUUGAAACAAGUGUGGAAAGGCCGGUCGCUUGCCCAGGCACCCAACCACCUAUACCCUCUCUCUCUCUCUCUCUCUCUCUCUCUCUCUCUCUCUCUCUCUCUCUCUGUGGGACUUGCCAUUGUUCUUUGACCAAAGAUGACCCAAAUUGUAAGUGUCUGCAUUAUAAGACCAUUAAUCAAAUUAGUCAUGACGAUGCCUACCCUCCAAUAGUUGCCAAAGAAAAUUAGGGGGUCAUUUGACCCACUCCACCAAUAAGAAGAGAAAUAAAUAAAAAGGGUCGAGUGUGCCCAACCACCAUGGUCAAUAUGGUAAUGUUGAUCCAAGUUUAAAAGGGGUACGUUUGGGAGAGCCGUCUUAAAAUUGAUUCAUACGAAGAAAGUCAAUUACUGUUAAUAGUGCCCUUGAGCCGCAGCACCUUCCUUUCUGCAAAUACCUUCCUUUUUCACUGCUCAUGAAGAAAUCGUGUCUUUUUCGUUUCUCUCCGUAUUUAAAGUAUUCAAUACAUUCGUAACUCUUCAAGAAAACAGAUACACAAGGCCUAAGGUGUGAUCAAUUUCUUGACGCCCUAAGCAACCAAAAAACAGAAAAGAGCUUGUGUUGUGCGAGCCUUCUUGUGAAGCUAAUUUGGCCAGAGAUAUGGAGCACAACAACAUCAACACAGACGAAAACAACAGCAACAACAGGAACAUGGAUGAAGAGGGCAGCUACAUGGGUGUUCCAAUUCACAGCCAAGUGAUGAAGAUCAAGCAAGAGUUUGAGAAAAUCAAGCACCCGUCUCUGGAGCAGCCUGCAGAGCUGCGACUGAGACGAGUCCUUCUCCGCCAGAUUACUCGCCAGCGUUCGCGUUCUCCGCUGGGAUUGGCUGCAUAGGGAGGGAGGGAUAGGGGUUGCCCUGCCUCAGCUUGCAUGGUUAUGGUGGCGACGCUUUAGAGAUUAACUUUUUUGCUUUUUGUUGUUUUUUUUAUAUUACUGUUUUUCUUGCUUUCUGGUUUCUACCACAGCAACCAUGAGAGUUUUGGUUUUUUGGGGUUUUACUAGUUUAGUUGUACAGGUAGGAGUUGGUGGGAAUCUCAAAGGCAUAGCGAAACUUAACGUUUCUUGGUUAAUUUCUAUGAUUAGAUUCCUGUAAGUUUUGCAGCUAUGAUCUCAUACAUCAUAUUUUCGUUCUACCACUAGACUUUCCUUCUUUAUCUAUGUGUUUGUCAUGCGCAUGCACAUGAACAACAACCACCACACAUAGAACCUAAUCACAUUUUGAGGAUUAAUCUCUGUCCUUUGUUUUUCUCAUAAGAUCUUGCGGAAUUUUCGAAAUGUUCACCAACCCUGUAAUGUUUAUCGAGUUUUAAAGCUGUGACUAUUAAUACUAGAAAACCCAGUAUAUUCAAACUUCUAUAAAGAUAAUACCCAAAUUACUAAAGAUCAGAAAGUAAUUGCAAAACAAAGUAGCAGAAAAGAACGAAGGCAACAAACAUGUAUAAGAGACAGUUGUGUGCUCUUUGAUAAAAUAAAAAAAAUACAGUUGCGUGUGCAGACAUGCCACCUUUAGGAUGAUCCCUCUACCACAACAAUUUAGCCUUGAGCAGUGGCUGUUUCUUUUGAUGCUAGUAAUUUCACCCUCCUUGUCAGAUCUCUCAUCACAUCUAUAAUGACAGAUUUCUUCUCAAUUCGGAACUGGAUAGCCAACUGAGUAGAAUCUGAAACACCCUUUUGCAACAGGGACUCAUCCUCCAUGAUUUUGGUUGGGAAGUGUCCCAGUGCAAUCACACAUAAUGCAAUAAUGGUGCGAAAAGCAGCUAACUCAUUUGCUAUACCAAUGGGAGCUUCAACUGAAAUAGAUUUAAGUUUAUCUAAAUCAAGCUUCUGAACUGUUUCCAUGUCACUGGCAAGAACAACUCUUAAGGCUGCCAACAAGCGCCCCUCCACCAACUCCGAACCCCCUAAGCAUACCUAUUAGGCAAAACAAGAGAAGAAAGGUUAAAUACCCAAUUUGUGUACCAGAAAGUCUAAAGAAUGAAGUCUUUCAUAAAUUUAGUACAACUAACAUGAUCAAUCUGAUAGCAAGUUUAGAUCUCUAACUAUGCUAAUGGCCAACAAAAAGUUUGAAAGGUAAGUACUAGGGACCAGAUAGUAAAAGAGUGAUUCACUUGCAUUCUUCUAACUUCCUCAGAGCUAAACGCCACAAAAUUUCUGCGGGUGAUUUUGUUCUAGAAAUUGAGACAGAAAAACGAAAAAUUGUGAAACAUCCAGCACAAUUCAUAACAGCCGACAACCUUUACAUAAAUCUGCAGAUUAUUUGUAAAGCAUUUACAGCAAACAGAUAAUAUCCAUGCAAUAUAUUUCAAGCCACCAAAAGCCAAUAAGCCAUUUCCAUCUAACCACCCAAAUACAGCAUACAAGGACCAGAGUUUUUCUUCAAACUAAAACUGAGAAAUUAUAUGAAUAAAGUUUGCUCUAACCCAUGGUGAACAUUCAUUGAUCGAAAUCAAAUCAUAAAGCAGGAUAACAGUAACAAUAUGUUUUCAGGAAAGUAGAAACCUUAAGAAGAGGAGCUUCCCCAUCUAACUUUAGCUGGCAUAAAAUUUCUUUCUGCCAUGGAGAUGGUGCAGAGAAGUUGGGUGAUGAUACUCCAGCAGCCAUACUUGCAGCAUCCAGAAGCGCUCCAUCAUAUUUCAGCUCAAUACAAUCAUAGGGGUUUGAUGGUAUCACAAAUCCAUAAUCCAGCAGGAAAAGGUCAUUAUUUAAACACCCAUAGUUAAGUACUAAACAAUCGUUCUGUUUGAUCCCUGUUUCUGCCACAACCUGGAAUGAGAGAGAAUCUUGAUGAGUAAAGAAACCUGCAAUCCCUGUUGGAGAAUUUCAGAAUGAAAUUAAAGAAACAAAAAGGCAAAUAAAACCUUUACUAGCAUCGUCACGUCCCUGUCAUCUUGGUCCUGAAGUAUUAUGGCAUUUGGCUUGAAACUAUGGUUGCACAUGUCGAUGAGAGGAAGCAUCAUCGGGACAUCAUUGUUGAUCUCACCUGAAAGCUUUUUACCAUACAAACGGAAUGCCCGAGACGAAACUGCUGACAUUGCCCAUCCAAGGGAGGAUGCAUCUACAGCUUGGCCACCAAAAGGGUGAUCAUUUGGUUUCAAAUUUUCCAGAGCACAUUUGACUUCUUGUUCAAAAUCAAGAAGAAAUCUGCAUCUCUUGUUCACCUGCAACGGGGAAUCAUUAAACCUUCAAAGCUUGCUGUGGAAAUCAAGUGGUCGUCAAGAUAAGAAUCUUAACAAAACUAUAUUACAAGGCCUUCAAAUCAAGCUAUUGAACGUGACAUGCCUCCAUGGGUCAGAUUUUGUCUAACUCCCAAAUUUAGGAUUAAGGAGACUGAUUGAAGUGUGUUAUUCUGUUCUUUAAUGUCCUAAAGUAAAAACAAAAUGUAUGUGGGACAAAGCAUACCCAAUAGCAAAUAAGGCAACCUAGAGGCUAACAUAUGGUAAACUAGAGGACAUGUCCAUCUCUUGGUUAGGGAUCUCACUGAAAGUUCUCUGACAAAUAAAACACAGAUUGUUUCUUCUAGUCUGCUCAAGGGACAUUGAUAGGCAGGUACAUUGCAUGGAGGUCCAGCAAUCCUCCCAAUUAUUGAACACAAUUUACAAAAAUGUCCAAGUCAGGAUUCAGCCAACCCACUCCGAGCCAAUGUCCAACCAUUGACAUAACCCACAAUUUUCUGAGAUAUCAGAAUAGCUAUCCUACAUUUUAAAUACAACACAAACUAGAGAGGGAAGGACUAGGGAGGGUGGUCUUAUACGUUCCCGACAUAUUUUUCUUUGCAGGUCUUAUAUGGUUUGAUAGACAAGACCUUAGCUUGGCAGAAACAUUGACAUUUAUGUGGUCAAAUAAGGUACCUGGUAAAGAAGUGGAGCAUACUGCAAAUUCUUUAUGUCCUCGCCAGGGAAGAAGAUGGGUAUAUUGAAUGUUUCAGGGAGGCUGCUGAUGUAUGGCCACCAGAAGGAUCCAGUUUUUGCUCUUUCUUGCAGAAGCUUCAAACCCAAUUUCAUUGCCCAAAGUUCCUCUGCCAAAUGCUUCCACAAUGUUCGAUUUACUCAUAUUCAAAACUCAGUACAGCCUAAUGUACAAAACUUUUAAGUUACCAACCUAUGCAGAUUGCAGAGUAAAGUAAACCUAAUGCUACAGUAAAGUAGUAGGGUCUUGACUGAGAUAAACACAGAAUGCCAUGUGCUACACAAGUGACUUGAGAAUUCCAAAUACCAUGGCAACGAUACUUCAAUUCCAACUUACUAGCAUACAUGUACAUCAAAGUUCAAGCUUUACUGCUAUUUUAAACCAAAUGAGAGGUGCCACUUACAAUUCUACAAUUGAACACCACUAAAGUGAAAGCUAGCAAAAUGCGAAAUACCCACUAACCAAUUACACCGAAAUACGAGCAUAAACCUAAUAAAAUGGGAAAGCCAAAGAACACUUACCAGGAACGUGGCGAGCCAAAUUGACGAUAACAGAGUCAAGCCCACCAUCUCCACCCUCUGAUUCAAGAGAGCCAAAUCUCAACGGUACGUGCUCGGGAAGAACAAUUAGUUCAGAACCUUUCGGGAUUUCCUCUGAAGCCACAAGUCCAAGACCAAAGGAACUAUCUUGAGCUAUCUUCACGGCUUCGUGCACGAACCCUCCUUCCCUACGAACCCACUUGAUCAGGUCAGGUGGGUAUGGGGCCAAUCGCCCAGGAUAAGAGGUUGAGGUUGAGGCACCGCAAGUUAGAGGGCGGAAGGCGGUGAGCGAAGCCAUUACCAUCUUGGAAGCUGCCAUGGUCGAGCAACUUCAGUCCUAGUGCUAAGAAAACUUGAGAGGAUUUAAAAUUUGAGCAGAAUGGAUUGAUUUCCAUGAAAAAUUAGGGGAAAGUUCUCAGAUUACCCAAAAAAGUAGGAAAAUUAAAUUAUCGUUGUCGAAUUUUGGAGGGGAUAAUUUCGGGAUUUCAAUUGCUUUGUAAUUUCUCUUUCUAUAGCUUUUUGAAGUCGAAAACGUACUCACUUGCCCUAACCUGCCCCGCCCCUGAUGAUAUUUUAGUGGCUCAUUUUUCAGAUUGGCUUAUGCUUGGAACUUGACCACAAGGGAACAAUUGGGCUUAGAAAAUCCUCUUGGUGUUACAAAUUACAAUGGUGUAUUUGGGUUUGGGAACACUGAAAUGAGGCCAUGACGUCACCCCUCUCUCAUUAGAUGGUAGAAGGCAAUGAGAGGCGCAUCUCCCGUAGGACUUGCCUCGUUCAUGCCAGUGGCCAUGUGACAUUUCCAGUCACAAAGAAAAUUGAUUAUGGAAAUAAAAAACUUUUUGUUAUAAAAAUAAAAUAAUCAGAGUAUGAAAAGUAUUAUUGAAUAUUAGGAAUAGAAUUGUAUUUGUUCUUAUGAUGUUUACACUGACAAAAUUUAUUCUCAUAUAGAACUCACCCUCUUUUGUUUUCUCUCAUUCUUCCUUUAUUCUCUUCCUUUCUUUCCUCUUUUCUCCUUUGGUGUAUUUUGCUAAGCAAUGUGAAGUCUAUUUAUAGGCAAAUUAGAUGGCUUACCCAACAUCAUCAUUAAACUUUUUGAAUAUUAUUUCCUUCUUUUCUUUAUGUGGGCUCCACCAUUUUCUUUACAACAUUCCCCCUUGGAGACCACAAUGUAUGAAACAUGCCUCGUUAAAAACCUUGCCAGUAAAACCCAGUGGGACAAAAAACUGGUCGAAGGAAAAAAGAGUACAUAACCAUGUGUAACAUAAAAUUAUGUGUAUAUUGACAUGCGUGCGGCACUGCCCCGUUCAAACUUUGCCAGAAAAAACUCAGUAGGAUCAAAACCUGGACGAAGGAAAAAGAGUACAAUGUGUGAAGGUCUUUAUUGACAGUACGCUCCCCCUGAUGCUUGGCAAAAUAUCUUUUAAGUCAUACUGUUGAUCAUCUUUCUGAAUGUCAUAGUUGACACUACUUCUGUGAGUCAAUCUUGUAAUAUUGUUGGAUGCUCCCUCUGAAGAAUAUCUCUCAUGAUAUCUUCAUGAUUAUCUUUCUAGAGGGAAGAUCUUUCGGACUGAUUGAAUGAUGUAGCCAUCAACAAUGUAGUUGAGUAAGCAAAUCUAUUUCCAGUUAGCUAUAUCAUAGAAAUUUUCAAAGUCCGCGAAUCAAACAAAACCUGAACUAUUUGUAAGUUCACUUGAAAAGAAUACGCCCAUAUAUAUUUUUUGGGGAGAUAACAUCAAAUAUGUCUCACAUCAUCCCAAAGUGGUGGUGAUGGAGCUAAGCUCUAUUUGAAAAAUACAAUGUUUGGUCCAGUAUAUACAGAGACGGACCCACAGUGGGGUCAAUGGGGUCAAACGACCCCAUGGACUCCAUGGAAGCAAGGUAGAAGGUGGCUUUGAAAUGGGGUAUGACCCCAUGAGAGAGGGGAUUUGCAGACAAGAGGAAGAAGAAGAUGAACAGGGCUCUGUUCUGUUUGAAAGAAACUGGCCAAAACGGCGUCGUUUUGGCCCAGCUUCUAAUGUUUUUUUUAAAACAGACUGGCCAAAACGGCGUCGUUUUGGACAAAAACGAGCUGGCCAAAACGGCGUCGUUUUGGACCAACGAAUUUUUUUAAAAAACCCGCUGGCCAAAACGCCGUCAUUUUGGAUCAGCGAAUUUUUUUUUAAAAGACCUGGCCAAAACGACGUCGUUUUGGUCCAGAUGUUAUAAAAAAAAAAAAAACACAGAUCAGUUUCCCUUCUUCUUCCUCCCUAAUUUUCAUUCCAAAACACCUAUUUUCUAAACCCUAAAACCUAAAUCCCCAAUCUCCACCCCCCACAAACCUUUAACCCUCUUCCCCACCAAGCCUUGAAGCCCCAAAUCCUCCAUUGUCGCCGCUGCCAGCAGCUCCGCCACUUCCAAAAGCUUGCCUCCACUUCCAUCACCUCACAAUUCAAGGUAAAUUCUAACUCUAAACCUAAAUUACUUAAAUUGAAAUUGAAUUUAUGAUUGUAUUAUAUUGUUUAGAUUUAUUGGAUGUUUCAUUUAUGAAUUUUUUGUGGUUAAUUGGUAUAAAUUUGGUGUUGUUUAUAUUUAUUGGAUGUUUCAUUUAUGAAUUUGUUGUGGUUAAUUGGUAUAAAUUUGGUGUUGUUUAGAUUUAUUGGAUGUUUCAUUUAUGAAUUUUUUGUGGUUAAUUGGUAUAAAUUUAGUGUUGUUUAGAUUUAUUGGAUGUUUCGUUUAUGAAUUUUUUGUGGUUAAUUGGUAUAAAUUUGGUGUUGUUUUGAUUUAUUGGAUGUUUCAUUUAUGAAUUUUUUGUGGUUAAUUGGUAUAAAUUUGGUGUUCUCUUGAAUUGAUUUUAGUUAUUAUUUUGAUUAAUUUAUGUAGAAUUAUGGAAAGAUUUUUUAAGAGAAAGUCAUCAUUGGGUAGUUCGGAUAGUGUGGGAAGUUCAAGAACUUCAAGUUCAAGACAAAGUGAGUUAGAUGAGGUUUUGGCUAAUCUUCAGGCAGACCCGGGACUAAGAAUUCGUAUGAUUGAGUAUGAUGCUAAUAUUAGAGAUGAGGUUCGAAGAGCAUAUCUACAAAAAGGACCUUGUCAACCUAGAGGUCAUUCUUUCCCACAAAGUAAUAUCUCAGGAAUUAAUCGACGCUUCAUUCCCCAAUGGUUUGAUGAAUUUGAUUGGUUGGAGUAUAGUGUAUCUAAAGAUGUUGCAUUUUGUCUUUAUUGCUAUCUCUUUAAAUGCAAUUUUGAACAAGUGGGUAAUGAAGCUUUCACUGGAGCAGGGUUUAAGAAUUGGAAGAAAGGGAGAGAAAGAAUGAAGGUGCAUGUUGGACCGGUUGGUAGUGUUCAUAAUAAAGCUAGAGAAGCCGCUACAAAUUCGAUGAAUCAAAAUACACAUAUUGAAACAGCUGUGAGCAAACACUCUGAACAAGCUCGUAUGGCAUAUCGAAGAUGCUUAAUCGCAUCAAUCAAGUGCACUAAGUUUCUAUUGAGACAAGGUCUUUCUUUUCGUGGAAAUGAUGAAAGUGCCACUUCAAGCAAUAGGGGAAAUUACUUGGAGUUAUUGCAAUUCCUUGCAGACAAUGAUGAGAAAGUUAAAGAAGUUGUGUUGGAAAAUGCUCCGGGGAAUCUCAAGUUAGUAGCUCCAAAGAUUCAAAAAGAUAUUGUGAAUGCAUGUGCCGGGGAAACACUUGAUGUCAUCAUGAGUGGUUUAAAAGAUAGAUUCUUUUCUAUAUUGGUGGAUGAAGCACGUGAUAUUUCUGGGAAAGAGCAAAUGGCUAUGGUGUUGCGUUAUGUGGAUGACAAAGGGCAUGUAAUUGAAAGGUUUGUGGGGGUUCAACAUGUUACCGACACCACUUCAAGUACACUAAAGGAUGACAUUGACAUAUUCUUUUCUUCCAAUGGUUUGAGCUUUUCCAAGUUACGAGGACAAUGUUAUGAUGGAGCUAGCAAUAUGAGAGGUGAGUUGAAUGGCCUUAAAACAAAGAUUUUGAGAAAACAACCUUGUGCAUACUAUGUUCAUUGCUUUGCUCAUCAACUUCAACUAGCACUUGUUGCCGUAGCAAAGAAGAAUAUUGAUAUUGCCUCUUUCUUCACAACCACUAAUAGUGUGGUUAACCAUGUUGGAGCAUCGUGUAAGCGGCGUGAUGCACUUAGAGCACAACUCCAAGAAGAACUUGUGAUAGCUUUUGAAAAUGAUUGUCUUAUAACGGGGCGAGGUUUGCAUCAAGAAACAAGUCUCAAACGUGCCGAUGACACACGAUGGAGCUCACAUUACGGUACCAUUAUUAGCAUCAUUUCUAUGUUUUCAUCUAUGAUUCAUGUGCUUCAAAUGAUUAUUGAUGAUAAUCCCAAUGAUAGUGCCGGUGAAGCAAAUAAGAUUCAAAGGGAAAUGCUUACUUUUCAGUUUGUGUUUCACCUAUUCUUAAUGAAGGCUAUAUUGGGACUCACAAAUGAUGUGUCACAAGCAUUGCAAAAGAAAGAUCAAGAAAUUGUGAAUGCAAUGGCUUUGGUGAAAUCAUGCAAGGAAAAACUACAUUGGAUGAGGAAUAAUGGGUUUGAUGCAUUGGUUGAAGAGGUGUCUUCAUUUUGUGACAAACAUCAUAUUGAUGUUCCUACCAUGGAUGAGGCCUUCGUACUUCCAGGGAGGUCAAGGCGUAAUGCUCCAAUAAAGACAAAUCGUCAUCAUUAUCGUGUGGAGCUCUUUAUUUAUGUCAUUGACGAGCAACUUACGGAGUUAGAUGAUUGUUUUAAUGAGGUAAUGUCACACCCCGGGAUCGGCUCCGUCAUAGCACGAUAUUGUCCGCUUGGGCCCCCCUCUCUGCCCUCACGGUUUUGUUUCUGGGAGCUCACGAGCAACUUCCCAGUGGGUCACCCAUCCUGGGAUUGCUCUGGCCCCCAACUCGCUUAACUUCGGAGUUCCUACGACUCCGAAGCCAGUGAGCUCCCAAAAGGCCUCGUGCUAGAUGGAUGCGGGUGUGCACAUAUAAGGUACAUCACCCCCUAUCCGUUGGUUGAUGUGGGAUCUUACAAUCCACCCCCCUUAAGGGCCCGACGUCCUCGUCGGCACACUCGCACCACACGGCAGAGUGGCUCUGAUACCAAAUUGUCACACUCUGGGAUCGGCUCCGCCGUAGCACGAUAUUGUCCGCUUUGGGCACCCCUCUCUGCCCUCACGGUUUUGUUUCUGGGAGCUCACGAGCAACUUCCCAGUGGGUCACCCAUCCUGGGAUUGCUCUGGCCCCCAACUCGCUUAACUUUGGAGUUCCUACGACUCCGAAGCCAGUGAGCUCCUAAAAGGCCUCGUGCUAGAUGGAUGCGGGUGUGCACAUAUAAGGUACAUCACCCCCUAUCCGUUGGUUGAUGUGGGAUCUUACAGGUAAAUAUUGAGUUGCUUAUUUGUUUGGCAUGUUUGAGUCCAAAUGAUUCAUUUGUAGCUUUUGAUAAACAAAAGUUACUUCGUCUUGCUCAAUUUUAUCCUCAAGACUUUUCGGAUGAGGAUCUUUUGGCACUUGAUGAUCAACUUGAGCUUUAUAUUCAUUAUGUGAGUUCGAGUAGUGAUUUCUCUGACUUGCAAGGGAUUGGUGAUCUUGCAAAAAAAAUGGUGGAGACAAGGAUGCAUCGAGCAUUCAAUUAUGUGUAUUUGCUUAUUACAUUGGCUCUAGUUUUACCGGUUGCUACUGCUUCAGUCGAGAGGGCAUUCUCCGUCAUGAAUAUUAUCAAAGGUCCACUUCGGAAUAAAAUGGGAGAUCAAUGGUUGAGUGAUAGCUUGCUUGUUUAUGUUGAGAAGGAUGUUUUUGAUUGUAUUGAAAAUAAAGCUAUAAUACUAUGUUUUCAAAAUAUGAAACCUCGUCGUGGCCAAUUGUAAUUUGUAAUGUUGUUUUUUUACAUGAAUUAUGAAUGAAUGUACUCUAGUUUUAUUUUCAAUGUUAUUUUAAUCUUUCAAAAAAAAUUGAACUUUUACAUUAUGACCCCACGACACAAAAUUCCUGGGUCCGUCCCUGAGUAUAUAUAUGGAUGAUCUAUUAGUAUAAGCAAGAAUCUCGUUGGCAUAAUUCUCGAUCUUCAGGCCGAGACAAAUAUUUCUUGAACUCUUCAGGAGUUUUAAUCAAUUAUCAACUCUUCAUGAGUUGUAAUGUAUUGCAACCAUAUCAUAAUUAAUGUACUCACUGAGACAAUUUAUAUAUAUUAAUAUUGAGUACAAAAUUUGUGCUCCAGGCACAUGUUCUUCAGAGACUUGUUUCAUGCAAUUACAAUCCUUUCAGGAAUUUUAUUUAAGGUAUUACACUUCAUGACACAUUAUAUAGCUUUAUAUCCAGAUAUUUGUUCUGUUUGUACAUCUUUAGGGAAUUGCUUCUGGCGAUAUGCUCCGUACAUUUAAUAACCCUUAAAGAUAAUAUGUUGGUCUCCGUAAAUGUGCAAUAAGAAGGCACAAUUGCAUCUGUAAAUAUGGAGAACCUCAACAUUCCUUGUUUCUACCAUAAACAUUAUGUCAUAUAAAUUAAGUAUGUUCAUAUUUUAUUCCGAGCACCCAAGUAUAACUUUCAGGGUUAACAUCUUUUGGGGUUCGUACUAUGGGUUUGUUCCUUCACAUUCAUUCUCAUCUGUAAUGGAAUUGUCUCUUUCCAUUUUUGGCCAAUGAUAUUGUCGAUAUUUAAUUAUAGAACGUGGUUCCAAUCAACACAGCCCAUUGAUGAUUUGAGUAGCUACUCUAAAAUCAAAAAUUGUCAUUCAUCAAUUCGUGAUCCCACCAUUUUCAUAUGCAUGCACAUGCAUCAAUUAUGAACAUUUCUUUGUUUUUGGGUACCCAAGCCACUUCAUGGGAUUUUAUUGUCUCUUUCCAGACAGACAUCUCUUAUAGUAUGAAUUAUGUGAGAAUGUGAAUCUUAACCUCCAAAUGGAGUGUUAUUUUGCAGUGGGGCGUGGAUAAUCUCCAUUCAGGGAGUUGGAAUAUUUAGAACUCAUUUAUCUGUCAUCUUGUAGACAUGCCAUAGAUUAAUACACACAUGUCAAUGCCCUUUGGGACUUUAAACCAUAUAAUUUGCUACGCAUUAGGCGUGCACUGUAUUAAUAUUGACAUGUUAAUGGAUUGUCCUUCCAGGACUUUAAUCCAUAUUAUUUGCUACGCAACAGGAAUGCAUCAUAUUGAUCACUGCUAUACUCAUGUUCUGUUCUUAUGGGACUUUAAUCUAUGCAAUGUAUUAUCAAUAUAUUCAACUUGCAGUCUAUGAAAUUUGCAUUAAUAAUUCAUGAAUACAUAUCAGAAUGAUACAAGUCAUUCUUCUGGAAUGGUCAUAAUACAAGUCGUUCUUCUGGAACAAUUUAUAAUGCAAGUCAUUCUUCUAGAAUGGUCCUUUGUAUGGCGUUCUUCUGGAAUGGUCUUAUCUCCUCAUUUGGUUACCUUUAAGGAUGUCGCACAAAAAAAUAAGAGCAUAAGUACGAAAUAACACAAGUAUUGCUUAUAUCAUUAGGUGGGAGAAACUUUGCUCAAAUAUCAUUCAAGCUCGUAUCGGCUUAGCAAAUACAAUGUAAUGCUUGAUGAUCUAGUUAUAUUUUGCAAGAGAAAAAAUCACAAUUCUUCUGUCUCUAUCAACAACAAAAAAACCCUCAUUGUUAGGCUCACUACAUAAAUUUGUUCUUCAGAUGUUCGUUCUAAAGAAACAAAAUCUCUUAUGAAUAGAGUUGUAAAAAGAAAGAAAAGAUACAAAGAAUUGUGAUAUUGAUUGCAAUGUAGGUAAGAAAUCAGGGAAGGAAAUUAGUGAGGUAACAGACAACAAACUCUUAUUUCUCCUAGCUUAGAAGAACUUCAGGAGAUUAGAGCAUAUGGUCGUCCUUACAGUUUCCUGGUCUAGCUGAAACGUGAUCAGGGAUAGUCUCGCUUCCUGUAUGGAUGAUUAGAGAUAGUCUCGCUUCUCAAGCAUAUUGAGCGCUCACUAAUAGGAAAAAAAGUGGAUAUUGCAUCACUAGAUAUGGAGAAAGCUGGAGAAAACUUGAGAAAUUGGAUGUAUUAUGCAAAGAAAAUUUCAUUAGUAACAUAUUUAUACACAAAUUAGAUGAACAGUUUGAUCCGGUGAAUCUCAAAUUAACUACAGAAAAUUGUGAGAUGCUCGAGAUACUUUUGAAAAAGUAACUCCGUGAAAUCCGCAAAGCAAGAUCGGCUUUGAAGAAAAUAAUCUUUGAAACCCUUAAAGUGCCGACAAACAUUAAUGGAGGCCGCGUGAAUUUUUGGAAUCUGAAAAAAGAAAAAGAGAAUAUGGGGAUCCGAGAAAAUAUUGGGAUCCUAGAAAUGGUGCCACAUUUCCGUCUAUAGAUAUUGCCUCUGCAAGGCCUGAUCUGCAUUUCAAUUCAACUUCCUUCCUUUUUCUGAAAAUUUUAUAAGACUUUUCUCAAAACCAUCUCAAAAUGGCUUCCUCUUCUUCUGGCCUAAAUCAUUUCGAUUUAAAUGUUGCUCCCAAAACAACCUGUGACGCCAAAGUCUGGAGUCCAUUCUUUGUAUCCCAAAAUCGUCAUCUUAUGGUUAAUGAUUAUGUGAUGAUGAAUUAUACAGUUGCUGUCAUAGUAGCUAGGAAUUUCCUUCCUCUUAUGGAUGAAAUACUACUAACAUGAAGGUCUAACGAAGAGACUAUUGAUGACUCAAUGGCUUUUAGCAUUCAGAGUGCUGCUUCUGUUUCUAACAUGACUGAUCAUUUGCGUGCCAGAGCAAACGAGAUUCGGGAGCUAAACACUGAAAAUUCGUCUCUUCAGAGAAUGCUUCAUGAGUCUUAACAAGAGGUUGAGAAACUUAAAGAGGAACAUAAGGCCUUGUUGAAACUGGUGAGUUCAUACUCCAUUAAUACGCGGACAAGUCUUAACAUGCUGCAGAUUUCUAAUGAAAAGAUUCCGGGAGACCAUGAGAGGCUUAUGGCUAAGCUUAAGAAGCGUCGUCCUCUUCCUUCAUAGGCUUCCAGAACAUAAUGGAAUUUUAUAGAUUUUAUAGAGCCUGCUCAUUCCUUGCAGGUGAAAAGAAUCUAUAUGUUGUAUGCUCCUUUCCUGUUAUAAUAAUUGGGUGAAUUCUUAAACUUGCAUCUGUGGUUUUUACGUCUUUUGAAAAUGAAGAUUUGGAACCUUAUGCCUUAUAGGUUCAAAUAACCACAUCAAAUCUCUCAAAUUACAUAUUUCAAUGCAUGUGAGUCCGGAACUUCUGGCUCAGGUUAAACACGACUUGAAAAUUUAUUUGCCUUUUUCAAAUGGUCAUGAAAUAUAAAUUGAGUAAAAGUCAUGAUAAUAUUGCAAUAUAGUAGUGAAGAGCAUUAACUACUAUAUUACAAAAACUUCAGUUUCGGGAUCUCUUGUAUAUUUGGAUCUAUGGGCUUUCGGCCCAGAUCAUAUAAUAUAACAAAAUAUGUGGGGAGCCUCAAUUCAUCCUUUGAGGUUUAUCUUGAUAUUAUCAAUUUCACAGUAUAUUCUUAACAACCGGAAUUCAUAAAAUAUAUUUGUUCAUUGAGGUGUCAAUUAUAACAUAAUCGAACUUUAUUAAAUUCAUCAUUUUCUUAUGCCAACGAAAUAUGUGGUGUACCACAAUUUGCAAUAAUACCUCAAUUGUCCAUUUAACUAUUGGAACUUCAAGUUUUCAAUAUUGUCAGAUUUUAAACUUCAUGUCAAAAUCGCAUAUUUUAAUGGUAUGUACAUUUUUAUAAUUUCCUGUACAUAUUUCAGGACUUCAUGCCUUUACAUAAUUGUCCAUGUUUUGAGAAGCUUAUGGCUUCUCAUUUAAUUGAUCAUCCAUGAGUUUAAGGAAUUGCAUAAUGACAGUUUACCCAAAAUGAUUAAUAUUUAUGUAUACAUCAUCACUAUUCAUGUAUACGAUACUAUUCAUCAGGUCAUGAAUACGUGUCUAUUCAUGCAUACAGUACAUUUGCUAAUACAAUUACUAUUCAUUUAUACGGCACUAUUAACCAAUAUGGUACUAUUACAUUAUUAAGGAACUUCAUGUCCUUAUUUACAUGUUAAGGAUCAAGGAGUCUGAUCUCUUAUUUACAAAUAUAGUACGGGAGAGAUUGACAGCUCUCAUAUCAUUAUCAUCAUCAAUGAUCUUUAGGUCUUGAUGUAGUUGUAUGAUGAGGAUCAAGGAACUUCUAGUCCUGAUUUCUAUAUGCUGUGAAACUCAUCAUAUCACACAAUUAAUUCAUAAAAUAAAUUGCUUGUAAAUAAAUUGUUGGUAUGGACGAUAAUCCCACACCAUACUUUAAAUAAAUGUAAAUGUGCGGUAAAAUAAAUUCAUAAAUUAAAUUGCUUUAUGUAUGGAUGUUAAUCCCGCACCAUACUUUAAAUAAUAAAGUAAAUGUGUGAUAAAGUAAACGUGCUGGUGUAGGCACUAAUUCUACUCCAUACUUUUAAAUAAAAAGUAAAGGUAGUUGUGUGGACGAUAAAUCCGUGCCACACUUUAAAGUAAAUGCUAAAGGCAUUUGUGUGGAUGAUAAAUAUGUGCCACACUUUUUAAUCAAUACUGCCGUAUGUGUAAUUAACCUACACCAUACAGUAAAUAAUGUAAAUGUAGGGAUAAAACCACCACCUAAUAUAUAUGAAGUAUAUAACAUAUUAUAUAUUGUGGACAAUAUAACUGCUUCACUAUUCAAGAUAUAAUAAGAUGGGUUUUAAGAUCACACCAUCAUUUUUAUUACAAUAAAUGUGUUACAACGCGAUGGGCAAUGAAAAUUACACCACCAUAAAAUAACAUGAUUAGAUAUAAAACCGCACCAUUCCAAAUUACAGUACGAAAAAAUAAAUUAAAUAAACAUGGAUGAAGCAACAUAAAAAUUGUGAGAAUAUAAAAAAAAGAGUUUGCAUGUCGUUGUAGUAGUAAAGUGAGAGGAGACAAAGAAAUAACCACAUAGUGUUGAGCUGGAAAAAUUUAGCAGUAAAGAGGUGAGACUAUCAUACUGAUAACGUGUUAUAAAGAAGAGAGACUCACUCUCUUUUAUUUCCUCUCAUUCUUCCUUUCUUCUUUUCCUUUUUUUCCUCAGUUUCCCUUUGGUUUGGUGUAUUUUGGCUUACCCAACAUCAUUAUUAAGCUUUUUAAAUAUUAUUUCCUUCUUUUCUUUACGUGGACUCCACCAUUUUCUUUACAACACUUUGUUCUUUCUUUUCUUCUCGCCCGUUGUUGGCUCACUCACAUGUUACUAGACCCAAAAAAGAAAAACUCACAUCACAUGUUACAUUAUUUUCAAAUCCAUUCACUCUUCUGUCAAGCACAUGAGCACAUUUUGAGGACAAUCUGUUUUAGAAAGAAAGAAGUUUUUGUUCUCCGUCUAAUAAAUCGGCAUUCCAUCAAUGGCCACUGGCCCCAGUAGCAUUGAGCUAGCUAGUUUCCAGUGGCAACACAAGAGAUCAAGAAAAGAAAACACGCCAUUUAAAUAUAUAAAAUAUAACCCAGUGAACAGACUAUAUCAACAGAUCAAAUUCAAGUCCAUUAAUGAAAAUUAGAAAGUAGUAUUAACAUUUGAAUAUGGAUUAGAUCGGAAUUAUUAUACAAGGAUGAAGGAUGAAAAUGUCAACAUGAUCAUGAAAUACUUUACUCAAAAAAAUCCUUCAACUAAUGAGAUCACAGAUGCCUUAAACUAAUGAGAUGAAUGAAUCAACAAAAAAAGAAAAGAAAGUGGAAUUGAAUUAAUAUUCGGGCUGACGUUGAUCAAACUGCAGCAGAAUCAUUAUAACGCGAGCCCAUCAUCAUCAUGACCUUAAACUCCUCAAAAUUGAUCAUACCGUCGCCAUCGCUGUCGACCGCACUGAUCAUCUUCUUGCACUCAGCGAUCGAACACUCGUCCCCCAAGCUCCUCAGCACUUUAUACAAUUCCUCGGCCGAAAUCGACCCAUUCCCAUCAAUGUCGUAGACCGAGAAAGCGUCUUUCAGAUUCUCCAGCGCCUCGGCCUGGUCGACCCCGUUGGUGUUGAGCUCGACGAACUCUUUGAAGUCGAUGAAGCCAUCGCCGUCGGAAUCGACCUCUAAGAUCAUGUGGCUGAGCUCCUCUUCGUUGGCCGGCUGGCCCAGGCUGCUCAUGAUGGCUCCGAGCUCGGAAGACGAGAUCUUGCCGUCGCCAUUGACGUCGAAUUUCUUGAAGACCUGGUCGAGUUCGGCGAUCUGAGCGCGCGAGCUGAAGGAUGGGGAUCGCGAGGGUGUGGUCGUGAGUGGGAGGGCUGUGGCUGAUGGAAUGGAUUUCUUCUUCCGGGAGAAGAGGGAUUUGAAACCCAUCUGGAUUUGAAUUGAAACGACUCUGAGAGAGAGAAAAGGUGAAAUGAAAGACGAAUUGAAGAAGAAGAUAGUCAAAUGUGAGAUUCAGAUUUCUAGGGUUGUGUUAAAUUUGAACAGGGGGAUUUUUGUUGCUUCUUUGUUGUUUGGAGAUUCAGGGAAUGGGAUUGGGAUUGGGAUGUUGGUUGCAGGUUAUUUUAUAAGGAUGUGAGAAUGAGUAAAUGAGAGAGAGAGAGUUUGGUUAGGGAUUGGGAAAUGGGGGAAUUGGGGAUUGGGUGAAUAACUGAAUGCGGAAAACGAAAACAGAAUCCAACUGAAUCUUAACGCCUAUUUCUCUGUCAAUGGCUCAUCAAUAACUCAGAUGAAUGUGGUGUGGUGGUUGUCGCUAAUUUUGGGAGGAGAGAGAGAAGAUUGCGCGUCAAUUGAUGAGUUACAGUCAGUUACACUGCAUACACACCAACUCAAUGACUCGGUGGAUGCCAACGGUAACAAUGGAUCCCACGCGUCACCGACUCAACCAACUAUAUUUGAGAAUGAGUAAAUGGCACUAAUUAAACAAAAAUCACGUCAAACUAACUUUUUAGCGUGACUUUUUGAGAAUUAAGGGUUAGCUUAGCCGCAUAAUGUAUGUAUUUAUAGCCUAGGGUUGUUUUAUGUGGGGGUCCGAGCAAUAAGAGGUAAGAAUUGUAAAUCCAUAUCGAUAUUGGAUACGGUAAGAUUAUUUUCUUGACAUGUUUUAUCCUUAUCCUUGUAGGUUAUUGAGUUAAUCGAGCCUGAUGCUGAUUUAAGGAACCUGAUGUUGAAUGUAUAUAACAGAAAAAGAUUUGCAUCAUUUCUUUGAUUUCUUUUCAUCUUUAUUAUUUUGUAUAUGGAACUAAAGAUAAAUAUUUUUUCGAAUAAUACUACUCUUAUUACAUUUGUAUAUUGUAUUCACAUACCACCUCAUGUGGCAGUAGACAAUCAUAUCAAUUAAAAAGUGUCAAUAAAUCAUAAAAGAAAAGAAAAUGUUAAAUUAAUUUUAAUUGAUGUGUUUGUUCACCUCAUCUACCAUAUAAAAUAAUAUUGAAAAUAAAGUAUAUAAAUAUGAUAAUAGUAAUAUUAUUCUAUUUUUCCUUCUCAUAAUAUUAUCAUGAAAAAUGUACUCUCUCAAAUUCUCAAAUAUUAAACUGAAUGGGCAAAUUUAACUACCAUGAUAAACAUAUUCAUGCUUUGCCAAUUAGAGAUUACCAUUUCAUACCAAAUGAUGCAACGUGUUACAUUUACAAUACGUUAAUGAUGAGUGAGUAUGAUGUAAUGCCAAAUGCUAGGAGCAAAAUUGCAGUCCUGAAAUUGACUUGAAAUUGGAGGCGAAUCUUAAGGCCGCAACAGUCAAACACCUCCCUCCCUUAUGCUCCAGAAUAAUACUGUUUUGUUAUUUUUAAUCAAUAAUAGAAUUAUGUUUGAAAAAUUUAUCUAACGUGUCAUUGAGUUAUUAGAUUUUCUCCGCUGCCCGCACAUGAUGUCCUCCUAAAAGGACCCCACUUUACAGUCUACACCAUUAAAUUUAAAUCAAUCUAUCUCUGUCCCAAAUUAAAAAAAUACACCAUUAAUCAAUCAAAAUUCAAAAAGUAAAAAUAAAAUCCAUACUGCCAAGAAUCCAAUAUCUGAAUUGAAAGACAGAGCACUGAAACCCUGCACCUCAUAUAUCCCCAUAUCAUUCCCUCUCCUCUCGACUCGUUUACAGUUAUAUCUGGUCGGCUGGUCUUCCAGUUCCUCCUCCUCUCUCUGUUGAUGAAGGGAAGCUGAGCCUUUUUGAAAGAUUAAAUCUUUUUAACUCCCACGAAUCACGAUGGACUCAAAGUCUCUGCGUUUCCUUACCCACCAAUGUUUCUUCUCCGCCGUUCGAUCCGGUGACCUUGGGUCGGUGAGACAGGUGGUCGAUAAGCUCACAAAGGACGAGCCCUCAAAUGGGUCACUCGUCUCUGAUCUGAUGGCGAUGCAGAACGAUGCAGGCGAGACUGCCUUGUAUGUGGCUGCAGAGAAUAAUCUAGAGGAGGUGUUCAGUUACUUGCUCCAGUUCUGUAAUAUAGAGAUUGCAAAGAUCAGGUCCAAGCAUGAUAUGAACGCCUUUCAUGUUGCCGCCAAGCGUGGCUACUUAGGUAUUGCUUUCUAACUGUUACUGUGCUUAAGCUUUGCUUGUGUGUGUGCGCGCGCGAUGAUAAUUGAUUGGUUAUUUUUAUGCACGCUGAAGGAAGGGUAUGUACAAUGAUUAUUAAUAAUUUCCUUCCUAGAGUGAAUAUUUGUGAUUAGUAAGAGGAUCAAAUUCUCUGUACUGCAAGCAGAAUAAUUCCCAAGUCUGACAUGUUGAAAUUCCUUUGUUUUUUUUCCUUUAAAAAGAAAUUUCUUUUGGUUUGUUUCCAUAAAGGAGUGUAUUUCGAACUGAAGAACCAAAAAGAACUAUGAUUUUGAUUUUGACAUAUUUUGAAGGGAAGCUCAGAAGAAAAAAAGUCAUCUCCUCAAGUAUAUGGUAUAUGUUUGUAGGCCAAGGGAAAUAAUAAAUAAUCACUGAUAAAUUGCGUAUCGCUAACCUGGUAAAGAUGAUAAUUUUGAAGGUCUUGUUUGUCUUAAUCUGCUUUGCAUAUACUGAAGCUACUAUGAUAUAUCCUAGAGGUUAAUGUAUAAGAAAUUUUGCAAUCUGGUGGCCAUUUUGAGUUGAUUUCUGUGUUUUCCAUGCUAUAUGUAUACUGUAAUCACUGCAGUGGUGAAAGGAUUUCUUUUUUUAUAAAUUUAUCUGGAAUAGGGUAUUGACUGUUAUUUAUUCAGGUAUUGUGAAGGCACUGUUGGCAAUUUGGCCUGAGCUUUGUAAAUUGUGUGACUCGUCAAACACUAGCCCUCUUUAUUCAGCUGCCGCUCAGGACCAUUUAGAGGUAGUUAACACCAUCUUGGAUGCCGAUGUCAGCUCAAUGAGGAUAGUGAGAAAAAAUGGUAAAACUGCAUUACAUACAACCGCAAGGUAUGGCCACCUACGUACUGGGAAAGAACUUAUAGAUCGAGAUCCAGGAAUAGUCUGCAUAAAAGAUAAAAAGGGUCAAACUGCACUCCAUAUGGCUGUAAAAGGUCAGUGUACUCCGAUUGUAGAGGAGAUUUUGCUUGCUGACCAUUCUAUACUGAAUGAACGCGACAAGAAGGGCAAUACAGCUGUGCAUAUAGCUACAAGGAAAUGCCGUCCACAGGUAUCUUCAUGUUGGCAUUUUAUUUACGAUAGAAGCACAUGAGCUCAUGAAAUCCUUGUCAUUACUUAUUUCUGCCCGCUUUACAUUUGUACGUAUUGCCAUUCCAUGUAGGAUGAAAAUGCAUCAGCUCAUGAAAUCCUUGUCAUUAACUAUUUUCUGCCUUCCCUUGCAUUAUCAGUUGCUUUUACUUACGUGGUAACCGUAAAUCUAAACUGGAUUAGGAGCUAGUUCAUUCUCAUGGCGAUUCCUCUUGCAGCAUCAAUAAAGUAUCACUUGCCAAGGAAUCAUGCAAGAAGAUACCAAAUAAAUAUUUAAGAUUAACCAAAUAAUACACCAAGUGCCUACAUGCAUAAUUGAUAAAGCAUCUGCUUUCUCAUUGCCUGUCAACCCUUGGCUAUAUUGUGAGCCUGUUUUUCCUCAUUGAAAAGCUUCGAUGAGGAACCAGAAAGUAUUUAAAGGAAUAUAUAACUAUAGUAUUACAUCCUCAAAGUCGAUUCUUGACAGCAUCUGAGGAAGAGCUUAUAAUUUAAUGCCUUGCUGGUGUGAGUCCAAUGGCAUAUGUUUGUGUAUUCAUUUUUUUUUCUUUUUACUCCCGUGUUGAAGUUUUACCCUCUUUCUUUCAGAUAGUGAGCGUUCUGCUGAGCUAUAGGACUAUUGAUGUCAAUGCCAUUAAUAAUCAUUAUGAGACUGCAAAGGAUUUGGCAGAUACACUACCGUAUGGAGAAUCAACAUUGGAAAUUAAAGAAGUACUAGCGGAAGCUGGUGCCAAGUAUGCAAGACAUGUUGGCCAAGUGGACGAAGCGAUGGAACUGAAGAGAACUGUGAGUGAUAUCAAGCAUGAGGUGCAGUCACAGCUUAUACAAAAUGAAACAACUCGACGACGAGUUUCUGGUAUUGCCAAAGAACUAAAGAAACUUCAUAGAGAAGCUGUCCAGAACACUAACAAUUCUAUUACAGUAGUUGCUGUUCUGUUGCGUCGAUAGCCUUCUUGGCCAUGUUUAACUUGCCUGGCCAAUAUGUAAUGGAAGGACCAGAAGCAGGGACGGCUAACAUAGCCGAUAGUGUUGGUUUCAAAGUGUUCUACCUGUUAAACGCUACGUCCCUUUUCAUGUCGCUAGCAGUUGUUGUGGUUCAGAUCACUUUGGUGGCCUGGGAGACAGGGGCUCAGAAGCAAGUGGUGUCAGUGGUUAACAAACUAAUGUGGGCUGCCUGCGCUUGCACUUGUGGGGCUUUUCUGGCGAUAGCCUUUGUGGUCGUUGGAGAGGGGAGUUCAUGGAUGGCUAUUACCAUAACCGUUAUGGGAGUGCCAAUGCUUGUUGGAACUCUUGCAAGCAUGUGCUACUUUGUUUUCCGGCAACACUUUGGGGGUUUCCGGCGCGACUCUCAACGGAGCAUCAAAAGGGCCAGCGGAAGCAAGUCCUUCUCGUGGUCCGUCUACUCGGCAAACAUCUCAGAUCUUGAUGAUGACUAUAACUCCGACCUUGAGAAAAUCUAUGCUUUGUAAACACUAGUAUACAGUAUUAUAGUAUUAGUAGUAUAUAUGAGUUGUUUUAACACGUUUUCCGCCCAAUGUCUUGUUUAGCUCUUUAUCUAUCUGUUGAAGUAAGAGUUGUUGUUCAUAAUUAAAGGGGGUGCUGCUGUAAUCUUGGUGCGCGCCAAGCUAAGUUGUUGGCUUUUUGCUCUGUACCUCUAAAUCUAGCUCUAUAAUUCACAGUUGAUUGUAGAUUAUGCAUAUUGUAUUUGUAACUGUAGAUUGCGUUGCUACCAAUAAUAUGUAAAAUAAUACUCAAUACUUAAUUGAUUUCCACAUUACAUUCUAAUAAUGCCCCAAACAAUUUUUUAUUUAUAUUUUCCCCCUGAUUUCUUUAAAACUACUACUGUACUGUAAUAAUUUUCCCAUAACAGAGCAGGAUGAUCAAUCAACAUAUCCAUUAUAUUAUAUCGUAACAGAAAAAAAAAACUUGAAAAUUAGUAUCUGUUAAUUUUCACCGUAAUCCUUCAAAAUUUAUUAAUAGAAAAAAAAUCCAUGAAGAAAUCCCGUAUGAUUAAUAAUCAAAGUAAGGAAAACAGUUUAGUGGGUCGGGUUCCUCUCAUUUAUUGAAAGAAAACAAAUGUAUGUCGAAGCAGCCAUUGUUGUUGUUAAUAGCAGGGAAACCUAGGCUGUCUGUAGCAAGCAGAGGUUUUUCUCCACUCUGUCUCUGCUGCACUGCUUUUCUCCACCCUCUGCCGCUGCACGCCGCCGUCAUCACCACUCAUAGCCGCACACUGCCAUCCAAAGCUUCAAAUCACUCAGGUGCCGUUUAAAUUUUAAGUCUCUGAAAGCAAAUUCAAUUUCUCUGUCCAUUUUAGCACCAAAAAUAAAAUUUCUCGGUUCAUUUUUUGCUGUUUUGCUAGAACAUGAGUGGUGAAUGAUCGAUAGAUGGAAAGUUAUGAUUAUUACUGAUUUACUUAUAUGUUUGAUUGAAUUUUGCCCACUGCUCAUAUUUCUUUUUUGUUUUUUCGCUAUUUUGCUUCAAAUCAUGAACAGUAAAUGAUUGAUAGAUGGGAAGCUAUGAUUAUUGUUGGUUUAUUGAUAUGUUAGAUUGAAAAUUGCCCAAAUGAAUGCUCUUGCAAUUUUUUGGGUAGUAGAUAUUUAUGUUCUCAACAGUUACAAUAUUCACCAAUCUUACAAGUGUAGGUAGUAGUAGAAACAUGGAAGUAGCUGAAGUUGAAGGUGAUCAUGUUCCAUCAGUAAUUCCAGAGCUCCCAAGUGAAAUCAUAUGGUUUCUUAUACUGCCACGGCUACCAGCUAAGUCUCUGAUGCGGUUCAAGUGCGUUUGCAAGUCAUGGUCCUCUCUCAUCUCCGGUAACCCUACAUUUCUUGGUGUCCACCGAAACUUGCGCUGCAACAACAGCAGGUACACUCACCUCCUCCUCAAUGUCUUUGACCGCGACACAGGCCACGACCACUUGCUCUCCGUCCAAAUCAACCAAGAUGGAGAUGGAGAUGGAGAUGGUAGUACCUCACCUGCCACCCACCUUCUAACACUGCCCCCUGACUAUCAUCUCUACGAUUAUCAGUGUACUAAUGGCCUGUUUUGUAUUUUUUACUUUGCUAAACCGGUAGCCACUAAAACCCACCAUGAACAUGACCCCGAGGACCACGUUCAUAUAUUUAAUCCCUCCACUGGAGAGUCGAUCAUUCUCCCCCAUACUUCACUGUCCAAAUACACACUCCAGAUUAAAGGCCACUUUGGGUUCAGUCCUUUUACAAACGAGUAUAAGCUUCUCCAAGUCCAUUUAUGCCAUGAUUGGACUUCAAAUCUCUUUAGUUUAAAGCUCGAGAUUUUGACUUUGGGUUCUGAUUCAUGGAGGUGCAUUGAGGUAGACCUCGAUCACCUCCCUUUUAAUCCCCUUUCUUCCCACUUGUAUGGCGAAAGUGUGUGCCUUCAUGGAGCCCUACAUUGGAUAUAUCAAGAUGGUGAGGAUAGGAGUAGGAUAGUGGUAUUUGACCUUGGAGAGGAGAGAUUCAAGGUCAUCACAACUCCUGAAGAUGAUGGUAGUGAUCCCUGUUGGACAAUUGCUGAAGUGGGUGGACGUCUAGCUCUAAUGGAUGACAAGGAUGCGAUGCCACAGAAAUUAAUGUUGGAGUUAUGGAUUUUGAAGGACUACCAAAAUCAAGUGUGGGCUAAAGAGACUAUCAAUUUUCCCUCUCAUUGGCGGGAGUCGACGUACCAUCAUUUGAAUUCUUUACGUACAAUUCACACAGGUGAGCUCUUCAUUCAAUCUUCACCGGAAGUACAGGCAUCUCAUCAUUUCUAUGAUAUGAAGAGUAAUAGUUUUUAUAAAAGUUCAAUUGUUUUGCCUGAUUUGAUAUGGCGGAAUGAUGGUGAUGCUCGGUUGGGCUUAAUUACUAGUUAUCGUGAAACCCUUGCCCCCUUAAGAUUAUAAUUCAUGAGAAUGGAGUGGAAUAGCAUUUCAUUUCGUUUCAUUAUUGUAAAACAUAAUUAAUGGGUUGAUUCUUGUGCAAGACAAGAAGGAUCUGUACUACUGGACAUACAUUUUCUCUUUCCCUUUCCCUACUACACCAUGCUUUAAGCCCUUACCAUAUUAUAAAGGAAAUAGGAUCUGAACUUGUUGCUAUCAAGUUUUAAAGUUUUUCUGUGAACGUGCGAUAACUGGUCAGCCUUUUUAUGCUAUUAAGUCCAAUUAGAUUAAUUUUAUGAGUAAGUUCUAUUUAGUUGAUGCGCUUGGAUUUGAAUGGUUUUUUUUUCUUCUCAUUCUCAGGAAAUAGUACACUGUAUAUAUAUAUAUAUAUAUAUAUAUAUAUAUCAGUCCUGAUCUCUUGGACCACAGGAGUCCAAGAGAUUGUGGUCACCCACCAUUGGAUAUUAAUCCAAUGAUUCAAAAAAGUUUCUUAAAAAGAGUGCAAGAGUGAGUGAACCGUUGAAUUUACAUCCAACGGUGAGUGACCACAAAUCUCUUGGACCCCUGUAGUCCAAGAGAUCAGGACGGAUAUAUAUAUAUAUAUAUAUAUAUCAAUAUUCACAACAGAUAACAUCGCUCAAGUUUCUCAUUUGGGUUAUGUUCAAUUGCGCUAGAAAAACUCUUCAGUCCAGAAAAAAAAGGGAAAAAAAGAAAGAGAAAGACAUCAUUAUUCAAAUGGAAUGGUAAAAGAUGUGCAGAAAUGAGGCAUUACAAAGUCAAUGGCAUCCUCAGGAGCAACUAUAUUAUUAAGUAAUUUGUUCAAGGAAGGAAGCUAACCCUCCGUAGGACUGUUUUUAAUGGCUUGUUUAGUUGUCCAAGUAACAGUAGAGUUGUCCAUAAUUGAAGGGCUGCUGCUGUUAUGUAAAAUAAUUGUGGCGGCAUUUGCCAAGUAAUCAAAUCCUUCACAUUUAAAUAAUAUCUAAGCUAAUUUCGUUUUCGGCUUUUGAGAAUAAUCAAAUCCUUCAAAUCCAUAAAAGUUUAUUUGACUUUGGAUAUGAAUAAGAAUCCAACAGACCCCAUGGGCAGCACCUCUGCAUACGCCGGCCUCGCGCCCACUAAUAGCUGAAGCUCUUGGGUUUCUCACAUUUGGCAGACAGCGAAAACUGGAGAGGAGGUUUGGUAAGUAAAUCAAACAAUCGAUCAAUCCACCUGCUGCCUGUUGCAUUUCCUUUACGAGAGUUAGUUGCCUUGAUCUCUCUGUCUCUCUCUUUUGAUCUUGUCUUGCUACCCGCUGACUUGGAUCUCCUGAAUCUGAAUAUAAAGCUUGAUGAAAUCUCAUGUCAUUAGGUUACAGCUACGAUUUUGGAUUUUGCCCAACCCAAGUAUUCAAUCCAAAAUUGAUUUUGGACUCUUUAUGUUUAAAGCAAGAAGCAUUCCCGAAUUACACAUAAUAUUCUGAGAGUGAGAUAUUUGGUUGGGAUUUUAUUAUUGGACCUCUUGAAAUGAGAAUAGAUAAGAAACCAUAAUUGAUUGAUAGACUUGAUUUAUUUUAAAAUCACGUUUGUUUUUUGGGGUGUCUCACCCCCUUCGUUAUUCACCAAAAAAGAGUUAAAAACAGAGAGAAAUCAUCAGCAGUACACAAAUGAAUGAAUGGAUUUAAAGAACCGUGUUGGGUGAAAACACAAGCAAAUCAAUUAAUAACUACAAAUAAACUUUCGUUUCCUUUCUUUUUUUUUCUUUCUUUUUUUUUCAUUUUUUUCAUUUUUGAGGAUCAGGAUCAAGGUGUACAUGAAGACGAAGUAGCUCGACUAACUUUAUAAGAUUGCUGUAACUGUGUAACAGAUACAUCUCAAGAAAACACACUGCCAUCUUUCUAAAUGAAAUAUCUCCCUCUACCCUCUCCUCCUCCCCACAUGGUUUUCAAUAAAAAAUAACAGAACCACGUGGGCACAUCCCUCUUCUUACACAAGUCAAAAGAAUAGCUCGCGAUAAAUGAGCUGCUCAUCUCAAUUCAAAACCCAAUUUUCACCAUCCCAACCAACCUGCAUGAGUUUAACAAACAACUACUACGAUAUACAAUUUUACAAACUAUACCAACCAGAUCGCAUCCACCACUCCUUCCUAUGCUUUGCUGAGGUGAAUACAUAUUACCCUCAGCCAGGGUCCAGAAGCAAUAACAUUAUAAUUGUAACUGCCCCGUCGCCCUCCUAGAUCUCGAAGGAGGCCUAUUCACAUCUGAUGAAGAAGUUCUGCUGAGUUCUUCAGGUCUUUGCACAUCCUGCAUACACACCAAGAAACAACGUAAUUCCAACACACAAGUCGCAGCUUUAGAGGUGCAAUAUGGGAGAAAAUCAAACCAUUACAUAGCAAGUAUGACUGUAUGACACCAUAUAACUAUAAUAAGUUGUAGUUUAAUAAGAAAAAGUAAAGUAAGAACGGGCUAUCUGAAGAAAUGUUUGCAGCAGGUGCCUGCCAAUACAGCUCCCACAUAACAUUUUCCAAAAACACACUCAUCAAGAUGCCAAUAAAUCUCAACAGCAAUGUUAAUAUCCCAAGGAAGAAACUCAACAAACCUUUGGUGUUGAAGAAGAUGUCGAAUUUUUGUGUGAUUGUGCCUGCACUUUCGCAUGCUGACGAUGCUGUCGCUGCAUUUGCUCAAACUGCUGUAGUCUUGAAGCAAAGUUGAUUCCAUUAUGUGAAUUCUUACUGUCCUGGUUUAUGUCGCCAUCUUCAGUUAUCUGUGAGCCACCUGGCAUGUGAUGUAGGAUUUGAUAGGGAUUCCCCGAAGAAGUUCGCCUGAGUUGCUCACCAUUAAAUGAGUAUGAAGGCACAGUUUUCAAACGAGUCCGUAGGAUUUUAAAGGCGGCACUUUGCUGCAAUCAAGAAUCAAAUGAAGCUUAUACACAUUACAAAUACCAAGAUGAUUGCUACUAAUCACAAAAAACAGAACUCUCAUAACACACAGUUUGGACGAUUGCUACUAUUACAAGAACCAGAACUCUCAUGAGGCACAGUUUGAAGUAGUUUCGAGAUAAAUUUAAGGUCUGAUCUCAAUGACUGAUGAUUAAUGAUUAAUGCUUAAUAGUAUUUUUAACAUUUAAUACUAUCAUUUGCCACCACCAGGAAAGAUUUCGGAACAAGAACUUACUGAAAGGUUCAUCCUUAAAUAGUUUCCAAAGAGGGUCAGAAGAAAAACGAAAGGUAAAACAAGGAUCUUUGAACUACAUCAUAGCCAAGAUAAGUAAACAACACUAUUUUCUAUUUAUUGGAAAAAGAAAACUACUCUUUUACUUGUGACUUCCUAAUAUAGAGGAAGCAAAAGUUAUAAAUAAGGGAUUUAAGACAACAUCAUGCUUGCAGUUGUAUAGAGGAAGAAGAAGGAAAAUGAAGAAUUCUUAGUUUAUACCUGGGGAAGCAACAUCAGAAGACCAUACAAGGCUUUUAACAACCAUACAUGUCUUCCAGGUUCAAGAAGCUGCAAGAACCAAAAGACAGCUCAGUCACUCAACAUUAGAUCUCAAUUUGAGAAAGCAACGCAGAAAACACAAAAUGGUAAAAAGCAAACAGGCAUUCUGUACAAAACUUGCAAUAAAACAUUUUUUCUUAUUUUGCCAAAUGAUAAACUUGACAUGAAACAUUUAAGCAUAACCAAAAUGGCAAGCUCAUUUUCUCUCCCUAUACUCCAAUUCAUAAAGCUGACUUUGAGAAGCGUGAGAGGCCACUCCUUGAGAGAGAGAGAGAGAGAGAGCACCUAAUGUAGUAUGCAGAACAAAGGUUAAAAAUAUGGCAAUGAUAUAAGAAAUACAUUUUAAUACUGCACCUGUAAUCUAAGAUAUGCGAAGAUCGGAGUUUCUAGUAACCGAAUCAAUUUAUCCAACUGGACCAAAAAUUUCACAUUAAUAUCUUCCUCCACCAGAGACUGAACCACAGUACUCGCAUGCUGAUAUGUCUGUCAAUAAAAACAUGUUCAUGAAAACAGAACAAAUGUUCACAUGCAAACACAGAUUUUUAAAUCAAAGGGGUAUCCAUGGGUGACAAAGCUCUAGAACCUCACCUGAGCUAAUAAGCAGAGGCUUAUAAUUGCCAUGGGUGAGUGGCACCAAGAAGCAUAUAAAGAAACAAACAAGUCUUUCCCAGAAGGAUUUACAAGUGAAUGUUUCAAAAGAUCUCGAAGCUCAGACAGCUCGGAGGAUGUAAGUAAAAUCAAGUUCAAAGCCUGAACAAGGAAAAAGGAACACGGAUAAAUAAAGAUUAUGCUGAAAAGAACACAUAAGAAGGAACUGUUGAAUAAAGCAUACGACCAUAAAAUAAAUAAAAUCAUUUUAGAAAAAUUGGUCUUUUUAAUGCCUCGGUCAUAGUAAAUUGUUUUAAUUCUAGCCACUAGGAUGUAUAAAACCAUUUCAAUUACAAAUCAUAUCACAUGCAAAUAAUUGCUUCAUUAUAUGGUUACUUGUGCACAUAUUACUUUAUGUUGUGAGAUAAAUAACAACCUGAACCAUAAUAGAUGCAAAAUCCAGGUCUGACUCUCCUUCUAGGAUAGUAGACAGUUCUCGGUAUACCCUUUCAGCAUCUAAAAGCACACAAAGUCGCCGAAUUAUCAAAGCACCACGCCUUGGGGAAAAGAAUGAAAAGAAAGGGCAGAGUCAAAAUAAAAAACACAUUAUCAUAGAUACAAUUGAAAAUACUAGCUAAAGGACCAGGAGGAGGAGGAGGGGGGAGAGAGAGAGAGAGAGAGAGAGAGAGAGAGAGAGAGAGAGACUCACUUCUCUAGAAGAGAGUUAUCUACAUGGAAAUUAUGCACGAGGAACACGACAAGCUGGCGGAAGUGUUGUGUAUCUUGUGCUAUGCAUGCAUGAACUUCAAGGACCAGGAGAACCACCUGGACAUAAAUCCAGACUCGCAACAUUAGAUACCCAAAUAAAUGCUGUUCAAUAUGUCUCUGUGCAAUUAGGUUUUCAUUAUGCAUGCUUCUGGACAUCAUAAAGUAAUAAAUAAGCUACAUUCUGGCAUACUAGGAGACAGCUCACAAUGGAUAACUACAGAGGAUAUCUGGUAAUAGGAAAGAAAGUAUUACAUGAAGACACUAUAAUUUUAUUUUUUAUUUUUACUUCUCAAAGAAAGUUCAAAAAGCCUCUGGAAAAAUACAUAAAUAAAAGAAUAAUUCACAUCAGUCAGCAGAAGAAACUCGCAGAGCCCAAGGAGAAUUCAAUAAAGUUAGUAACAAGAGUAUUAUUUAGUGCAUGACAAUGUACCACAUGAAAUCACAAGCAUCUGAGAUAAUUGAUAGUACUCAUAAUUUCAGCGGCUAAACUCCCAUAAUCCUCAUCCAUCAAACCAAACAAACAAAAAAAUGGUAACUCACUCUUAUCAGAAUAGUAGAGAAAAUGUUAAAGGAUAAACCCAUUAUGAUCAAUAUACACUGAAACUAUAAAAACAAGAGGAAGAAACACUUUAAGUUUCCUUCACACAGGAGCAAGUUCUUAGAAGAAUCACUUCAAUUUCUCUCACCAUACUCCUAACAGCCAAUUUCUGAACGAAAUCCGCCAGGGCUAACUCUCUCAACUCUUGGUAACCAAUCACUAUUGGCGAUAUACGUUUUAGAGUAGCUUUCUCUCAGCAGUACUGUUUUUCAAUCAUCUUUUUUUCUUUGAGAACCUCAACUAGUAGUCAAUCAACAGAUCGAAAGAUCCAUGUGAAUCAUAAUUUGAACAUAAUAACUGAGAAAAUACAGACAGCCAUGGAAAAAAAUAAAAAAUAAUCACCAUCCAAACUCAUGCAACCAAAUAAAGAUUAGAAAAUACAUCUUGAAACAAUAAAAGAAAAAGAUCCAUCAGACUAAAAGGAUUACCUGAUCAGAAGGAUCUGAAAGUGCUUCCAAAAGGGUGUCAAAUAUGUCGUUCAGAAAAGUUAAAACCUGUUUCAGGUAAAAAUUAAAAUAAAAUAUCUGACAAAAAAUACAGGCCCGGACAAACAGUAACUCGAUAUAUAACUAGCAAUGAACUACGAACUAUUAACCAGGUUGUGAAUCGGUAAUAGAAAUUUUAUAUUACAAUUUACACAAAGGCAUAAGUUAUCCAGUUUAAUUUUGAAAAAAGUUCAAUACGGAACUCCCCUGAAUAAACAUUACACUAGGUUCAAAAUCAUGCAACUAGAAGUGCGUGCAAUUAGAAAAGUGCCCAAUUACCUCAGCACGAUGUCUGUUUAGAAGGUUUGAAAUCCAGUGCAAUGCUUCGAUUCUAGUAGCCUCCCAUUCACUAGAUAAUUGCCUGAUCAGAAAAAAUUUCCCAAAUCACCACAAAUCCUCCAGCAUAACAAUAGAGCAUAAGGAUAAAAAACGCAACUUGAGAAUGGACAUUUCAAAUAGCUCCACAACAUGCAGACGUACUAUAUAUACCCAUGAAAUAAAAGGGCAUAUUCUAAUAACAUAUCACCCUAGGUUGUUUGGUUAGAAAAACUACACCUCCUUGCAAUAGAGAGGAUUGCUCCAACGUCAAAUCCUUCAGCUGGAUCAGCCUUAAUGGCACGAAGCUCUUCAUUGGUUUCACGAGCAACCUUUAGGUGAUGGGAAAGAAAAAUAAAAGAAUUCAGUGAAAGUAACUCCCAGAAGCAAUGAAAUCAGGAAAAACACAACCCCUCCGCCCCUCCCCCACCCCCCAACCAAAAAAAAGAAGAAAAAAAAGAAGAGGGAGGAACUUUAACCAACCACUCUAAUUUUCUCUUCUUUAUCAGAUAUGCAGGGUAAAAUCGCUCCCAGAAUAUCAGCAUAAUAGGGAACAAGCUGGUCCCCACCAAGCUUUACGAACUCAUUUAUCUGCAUAGCAAAGAAUCACAUGCAAAAGACUAUCAAGAAAAGCAUUGCUUUCAUGAGAAUAUCGAGAACAUCAUCCAUACAAACCCUAUGACAAUGAUAGCAAUGAGUAGGCAGAAAAUACCCAUGUGAUAGCUGUUAACCGAGUAAAUUCAUCCGGUGAAGCAGCCCUCUGUACCAGUAUUUCAGCCAUGCGACCAUAAUCUACAGACUUGAAGAGUAGCACUGCUCGAGUCAGAAAAUUACAAAUGAACAAGAUAUGUAGUUUUUAGAUUCAGAAAAAGGGGGGAAGCUGGCUGUGUGUGUGUGUGUGUGUGUGUGUGUGUGUGUGUGUGUGUGUGUACAUUCGGUAGAGGCGCGGGGGUAGGGGUGGGAGAAAUGACUGGCACAGGUUCUCCAAAAGUAACCAAAAAAAAAACACAUACUACAGACAUUAUUGCAGGAUUGGUGGAUUAACAGUUAGAAGUCUUACUGGAGAGUUCUUGAUCUCUUGGAGAAACUCUGAAAGUGCUGAAUCAGCUUGUUGUCUUAUCUCAUGGCUUGAAUCACUUAACAUAUUAAACAAGCCUGAUAUUUAUAAGCAAACUGUAAGUUCAUAUCCAAUUACCAGAAAAUAUUUGAAAUGAAGAAGCGCAUAAUUUUUACUAUGAAAAACAAUUACCAUCAAGAAAAUCAGGAAGAAAUCCCAGCAUAUCAAUAUCUGGAACACUGUCUAAGACAGUGAUCCAUCCAACCAAAAACUGGCGGACAUAGGGAUUUAGGACAUUCAUACGCUCCCUCAACAAUGGUAUAAAUUCUUCAAUGCUGCAGAAGGGAAAGAAACAGACAAACAAAAUUAAAUGUAAGUGUUGUAUUAUGUCUUGAGAGUCACAAAUCCAGAUCAAGAAUAUUACGCACCUGAAUUGAUCACUUUCAGUGACAAUAUCCUGCUUCAGUAUAUAAAAAGAAUUAAUAUAGAAAAAAUAAAUGUCUAUCUUGAAGACAAUCAAUUGAAAAAAACCAAAGACCCUUGCUUUCGAUUUUCCUUUCUGUAGAUGAGGAAGGAGGUUAAAUUACCUUUACAAGCCGAUCUAAAAGAUGAGCAGCACUUUGUACAUUAGCAUCUGAGUCUGCUGAAAGCUUACACAAGGCAUCAAAUAUCUUAUUAAAGAAUAUGAUAAAAUCUCCUCUUACAACCUGAGAACCAGAAAAAUAAAACAAAAUUAUAUCAAGUCCAAGUCAGGGAAACAGAAUAAUAAAUUAAUAAGUCAGCCACCUAAUCCGCUCACCUUUGCAAUGUUAUAUAGAGCUUCACAAGCAUAAUAACGAACUCUGCUAUCUUGGUCAGAAAAGGAAUCAAGCACAGGAGGCACAAUUUGCUGGCAAGAUAAAUCAGAAGCAAAAUAAAUACUCAAUACCAAUAAAGAAGAAUUUGGCAUUUAAUUGAGUCAGAAAUGUAUAUAAAUAGCUUUAAAACUAGUAAUUUCCAGAAGGAAAGGAGCUAAACUUUGAGAUGGACAGCUUAAUAUAGCUGACAUGGGACCAUUCUAUAUUCUCAUAAGCUGGCAAUCAACUCAGUUAAGGGAUGCACAAAGGGAACUUUCAAAAGGAUUACAAGUUUACAACAUUGCAUAAAGUGUUGGCAUCUCUUACAUGUCCAAUAUGAUUUAAUUCGUAAGUUACAAAUAUUUCUAAAUGACUCACUUCAUAAUUAUGAACGGAAUUGCUCCCUCAAUGUAAUGCCUCAUUUGUAACUACAUGACUGCUUUCUUAGUAAAACCUAUGUAAAUUUAAAAUUAAAUAUCACCUUCCCACAAAUUUAGCCCUAGAUCUCCAAAUAAAAUCAGAGAGGAUGAUUUCAUAAGCCAUUUAAACUUAUUUAAGAAAAAACCAAGAUUGAUAUUGGUUUACAAGCCAAGGCAUAAGUACAAUCUGCAAAGCAAAAAGUCGUAGAAGGAAACUAACUUCAAAUCCUGUUUGUCAGAUAAUGAGACACCGUACACAGUGGGCCCAUAAAACAUUAUGUAUAUGUUGGAAUUCCAUCGCCAGGAAAAUAAAAAACUUUAACAUCUUAUCAGAUCAGUCUUCACUUCCACCUAUUGGAACACACUACAGCAACAUUAUUCUGGGUAAAAGGUCAGUGUUUUAGUCAUCUAGAGUGAAAGCUUAGCACAUUGUGCUAGUUUUAACUAGCAAAACUAAGCAUCCUAUUUGUAGCCCUUGCUAUAUACUACCUCAUGAAGGUUAACUGCACACGUAACUACCAAAAUUCAAACCAACCUGGCCACAAUACGUUAAAGAUUUAUACAAAAACUUGAUUUCUAAAUAAAUAACGCCUUACCUCAAGAUGUUGAGCCGCUUCACUGGUCAAACCAACUGUUGCAGCAGCUAGUCCUAUCAAUCCUCCCUAUGCAACAAAAAGAAUCAAAAUUCGAGCGUUUGAAGAGAGAAACUUAAUCAACAUGGAAAAAUAGAGCCACGCAAAUUGAACUUCCAACUAGUCUGCCAAAUUAAAUAACUUAUAAAGCAACCCACUGGCAAACAUUCACACCAAUACCUUCCGGUGAUUCGCUUGUGGCGAAUAAGUGAAUUCCGUAGUGAGCAAAUUGAUCACCGCCGUAAUCUUAUCGUGAUCCCCAGCCGUUGUGAGCUGUUUCACAAUUCCCUCAACCUAUACAUAAACGCCCACACAUAUAGAAUUCAAUUGAAGAUCUAAUUACAACCACUCGAAACUAGAAACAAAAAUGAAUCGGUGCAAGAAAGAAAGACCUCAAGCGCGGCAUUCUUGCGCUUUUCGUAAAGCUUGUCCGCGAGGUUGCGGAGUACAGACGCGGGAAUCACUGAAAGAGCGUCGGCCAUGUCAAACCCUAGGAAUUAUAAUUUCUGGUGUAAUUGAAUUCACCGAUUGAAAGAAAACGAAUUCGGAUGUCAAAUUCGUUUCCGGAUCUUCUCCUGCUCCAAUCGGAACAUUUCUCUAGGGUUUUCGUCGGAAUUGAAAAUUCGGGAAUUUGAACACUCGGUAGGAAAAUCAGAUCUGCAGAAAUUGGGAAUGAAUCGGAAAUUGAGAAAACUGUAAACACAAAUUCUACGGAAGUUUUCCUUCCCUUUUCGUUUUUCUUUUUCUCUUCUUAUGUCUUUUUUUUUUUGUUUAUUUGAUUUGGGCUCUUGUCUGUGCUUUGCUUUCUAGUCUCAGUCGUGGCAGUCCUUUCUCUCUCUGUAUUGACUAUUGAGCGAUCUCGGAAGGUGCUACUAACAGAGGUUGGAAGUCUGGUUGUUAUGGAAAGACGGAUAUACCCUCACAUUUUAUAAUUGCAGAUCAGUUUGGAAAUGUCUAUAUUUGGUAUCUGGACUAGUUCAUAAAAUAAAAAAAUUUAUUCUAAAUCUGCCUAACCCCACGACUUAAUCUAGCUUGAUCUGUUAUGUUCUCGAUUGUAAGUUAUAAUUCAUAACCACGAUUUGAGUAGUCAGAUCAGAUUUCAAUUGAACUUAGACCCCAAAAUAUUGUCACAUAUUUAGAGCCCGUGUGAUAAUAAUUUCAAUUUUAAGAAGAAAUAGACACAUUAUUCUAAUCAAAUUUUCUAACCCAGAUUUAUCAUACUUUACAGUUUGAUCGAAAUAGUUCAAUCAUUUAGAUAAGCUGACCCAUAAAUCUACGUGCAAUUAUUAUUCAAUUCAAUCUUAAGAUAAGAUGACGAUGCCUCACCAUUCCGACUGUAGUCUUUUCUUUUUGGGGCCAUCUAAUCUUAGUAGUUUUUUUUUUUUUUUUUUUGAGAGAUUCACUAUUAUAUCCAAUAUAGAGCCUAAAUUAUAAAAAUACCCUAUAUAAAAUGGACUUUAAAAACACACCAAAAAUCCAUUUACAAUAUAACAAAGAAGCUUUUAACUUCUUAUAUAUUACAAAACUGCCAUCAAUUUCUUAAAACAAACAUAACCCCAAAACCUCAUAAAAAAACCCAAAAUACUCAAUAGGAUAUCAAAGUAAUUUAAUAAUCAAACUUAAAUUCAAUAAGGCUAGCUGUCAUUUUUUGAAUUUUUUUUUCAAUUUGUUUAUAUAAAUUUAAUGGUGUAGGAUUUAUCAAUAUUAUUAGUGCUAAGAAUGGGUAUAUCACUAAAUAUCUCUUUUUUUUCUGGUUCACAUCACAAGUCAUCUAAUCUUUAGCAGUGAUACCAUUUAUACAGUCUUUUUUCUUUCUAAAAUGCCGCUUGCUUUCAAACCCAAAAAAAACACAAAAAAGAAACCAAGGAAAAAGGUUUCACAUUUUUCAUCUUAAAUUAAAUGAGCAAGUCCAUAAAAAAAACAGAAACGACCAAGACUAUUUAGCUCCUUGGUAGCUGGGUGGAACGAGCACCUUUAGCAGGCACAAAGUUUUGAUGCAAGGCCACACGCAUAACGUCUAUAAGUCGCUGCUGUAGCACAAUGCAUAGUCGCUCCAUAGUGAGGGCCUUAAGGCCCUAUUUCUUAACUGUUAAAUCAAACUAGCCAAUGUGAUCAAACAAUUAACCAAUUUAAUCUAAUAGUUGAGAGAUAGGACUCAUCUAAGGGAUUAUAGAAUUUCACGCACAAUGCAACAAUGCUGAUAAGCCCAUUAUCAGACAUUGUUCCCAGAUCAACUUAGAUGAGCUGGCUACAACUACUCUGAACAAAGACGAAACUAGCCUAUUAUCUCAUCCUUUUCCAAAUAAAUCCAGUAAACACUCCCUUUGAAUAAUAGAGUCUGUUUUGCACAAAACUACAUGACGCAUUCAAUAAUGAAAUUAUAACAUUUUUUUUCUUUUUGGAAAAUGUUAUAUAUGUAACAAGAAAAAUUUCAUACAACACCAUAUAUGGCACGAUGAACAGUAAAAAGAUCAAAAACGAUCAAAAGAAAAGGGACUUAUCAGUGACUCUUCGAGUUCUCGAAAGCCAUGGAAAACAGCUUCAGUCUGGCUCUGUGGAAGGGCCAACCUCCGUACCUCAGUCAUAUACCUGGAAUUCAAGUUCAAAAGGAACAAAUCAUCAUACACUCAAACUCUUAAGAAUGUUUAGAGAAGGAAAUGCUCAGAUUGGAUUAUUUUUUCUGCAUUUCUUUUGUUGUAUCGGAGCAACCAUCAACUUGUGAGGUCCCCAAUUCUUUUCUCCUAGUGAAUACAAAGCAUGAAAAGCUAUACACAUCACAGUUCACAUUUGAAAUAGACUUGUCCACAUGACUAAAUGGAAGUGGUGAGACACUGAUCACCACCUGCACGUUAUUGAUUCAUUUGAAAACAAAUGACAGGGUAUAUUUGAUUGUAUAAUGGGGUAUAUUUCAUCCAUCACAAAAGGGUUUCAUGCAACAUCUAGAAUGAUCCAGAGUUUUUAAGGCUUGAUCUUGGCACAAAGAAGAUUAUAAAACAGCAAAGGUACAAAAUCUGCAUAUUGGAUCAGGUAUUUUAUAGACGUAAAUAUUAAAUUGAACAUAAAGCAAACAAAGAACGCUGUUUGUCGCAAACAAGAACAAUAAAUAAAUAAACUCACCUGUUUGCUGCACUUGAGAUCUUAUCUCGAACCCCUUGGUUAAUCCCUGAUGUUUGCUCCAGUGAAAAUGUUCCACCUAGAAUUAAAGAAGCUCCAGUAGCACUUGUACCCAUUCUUUGUGCAAACACAGACAUUGCCCACUCUCGAAGUACAACUAAUACUGAUCGUAGAAGGCGUAACCUAAGGUUUGGUGAUGGCAAAAUAGCACCACUCGUCAACAAUUGGUCAUAAGUGUUCAAUACGGGCUCAAUUGCACCCUUGCAAGCAGCAAGAAGAGCCCUUGCCACAUCUUCAUCUCCAACAGAUUCAACCCCUGAUUCCAGUCUUUCCUACAAAGAGAUGAAAUAAAAUAAAUUGAUCAGGUAACAAUUUUUUUCUUCUUCCGGUUUUUAAGUAUUUUUAAAGCUGCUUAUUCGUGUGUGUGUGUGUGUGUGUGUGUGUUUGUGCAUACAGAUAUAGAUAUACUAUCAAUAUAGGUAGUGUGCGUGUCUCCAAUAUACCAGUGCAGCUUUCUCGAGGUGGAGACACAGUGUGUCCAAGGGCAAACCAGCUCCAUCUCCAGGAUAAAUGUGAGAACCAACUCUCUUCAAUACUGAACAAGCUUCAGCAAUGCCACCCCUUGAAAGAGCUUGAUCAAUUAAUCUGGCCCAAGUAUCUCUUACAACGCUACUAUCAGCAUCACCAGAAUAGUAUGCAAAGUAUAGCAUUUCUAGACAUAUCUGAGCGCAGCAGAGAACAAGAAAAAAUUCAGUUAUAAAUAAAAACUAGAAUUUCCCUAAUUUUGUUUUGUAGUAAGGUUCAAUGAGAAAUAAUAGCAAUCACUGGCAAGCAAGAGAAAUCAAGUACCUCCCAAAGUUCAAAUGGAAGAGCAUAUUCAUUGUAUAGCUGAGUUAUACUCUUUAAAUCUAAUGACAGCUCUUUGGCCUUUUCUCGUGCAAUAUUUGCAAGAUUGGCAUCACCACUCAAAGUGCUAGUGGGAACAGUUCCACUUUGGACAGGCUCAGAUGCACCAGGCAAAGCUUCUAUCCUGGAAGCGGAAGCCUCAAGUUCCUCCUUGAUCUUUAUCUGAAAACGAAGGACAGCAAGUUUUCCUUCCAACAAAUCUAACAACCCAUCAUCAUACGCACCUCUGGUAGAACCUACCAGGCCUUCACUGUUACUUGCAUUUUUAGCCUGUAGGACUGCAUUACUUAGGUAAUGAUACCUGAAAUUGAUAAAAACCCAUUAUUACCAGUUAAGGGGAUCAGGAAUUUUUUUUCUACAGACAAGAGUUGACUAAUAUCCAGCCUUGGAUGGGUUGGGUUUAUUUUUUAAGACGACAAGUUCAAAAAUCCUUUUGAGUAGAUGAGGAACCUUAGGUCAACCUGACUUUAGAAAGCAUUUCUUAUAAAGCGACUCAAACCAAGAAUUUUAUAAUCAGAUAUUGAUAUCAAAUCUAUAUAAGAAUUAGUUUACAUGUGGUCAAAUUAAUAUAGAAUUCAGUAAAUAUAGACAUUACUACAGAAAGAUCGUACGUGGUCAGGAUUAUUAAAUGAGGCACUAGAAAUUCCCAAACGAAACUAGAAUAUUGGUAAGUGAUAAUGGAAUUCAUAAAAAUGUCAAAGACAUCCCAACCCAAGCACGAAGAGAUACCGGACAAAAAGAAACCCUGCAAAUUAUUUAUCUAGAUUUUCUGGUAAAAUAGAAUCAUGGUAAGGUGUUUGAAAAAGGAUCCCCUGAAACUCCACAAAGAACUAAGGAAGACUGAAUGAAUAUAUGCUAACCUUUGAUCUAGAGUAGGAACAUCCCCAGAAUUGGUUGAACGCCUCUCUGCCAGUCUUAGUAAUACAUGAGCUGCAAGCAGAUGCUGCCUCUUCAAGACAUAAUAUCGUGCCAACAGAUCAGAAUAUUUGGCUUGAUUGAAUGGGAUGGCUGUUCCUGAGUAACUAAUUGGAGAAGCGGCCGAUGUGACCGCAGAAACAGCCCGAACCUACAAACAUGGAAGAAACAUCAGGAUAACAAAAGAGGGGAAAGCAUUAGCACUAAGGAAAGAUAUUGCUUAAGACCAGAUGGAAGACGUUCCAGCUCUUUUUUGAAAGCAUUUGUCUGAUCAUAUUUUGAAGCAUACUAAGAGAAUCUUGACAAUUGAAAUUCAUCAUAUCAGAUCCAAAACAAAAUAACAUUAAAAAAAUCACCUCUUGUAUGGGUUCACGGCCAGCACUUUGUAGGAACGGCACCAAAUCAGGACCUCCAUACUCCAGCAACUCAUUCUCAAGGCCCAUAUCAAUCAUAGCAUGGUACAAGUACUCGUGAAAUAAUCUGUCAGGAGAUUGGAUGCCCAGCUGAACAAUCUGGGAUAUAUAUUUGUUCCGAGAGACCGGAUCAAGGGCAGAUCGCAUAGCAGCAGGCCUAAGAGGAGAACCAAACUCCCUCUGUGAAGGCUCACCUUUUAGAGAACGCAAUGCACUGAUGACAAUCUCAUAGCACUGUUCACGUUGAGCACGUGCAUGCUGUCGGACUGCUGCAUCAAUUUGGUCACUAAAAGCAUCACCUGCGGGGUCAAGAGCCUGUGCCUUUUGUAAAGGCAAGCGAACCACGGCUUCAUAAAACCUGCAACGUACUCAUUUUUAGGUUUUACACAUAACGACUUAACUUACUAAGCAUAUACAACCGAUCAAAACAGCACUGAGCUUAACCAUAAGAAACUGACCUUAAAUCCUCAAAUCGUUUGCAGACAGUUCGUAAAUCAGCAGAUUCUGGAACUUUACUCAAAAAAUUGAAGGCCUCUCUAGCAAGAUUCUCCUUCUCCUCAGGAUCUGGAAUUACAGCAGCUCUCUCAAGACACUCCACAGCUAGAAAAAACUUGUAAUCAGACUCCUUAUAAUAGCUUGGACAGCCUUCCCGUAAUCUCCCACUAAUAUCAUUUACUGCCCCCCUGCCAUCAGGACCAGUAUAAUACUGGAGCAAUGAAUGACAUGAAAAUAAUGACAUUUCAGACUGAAGUCAGAUAAAAAAACUGAUAAACAAGUGAGGGGAAAAAGGGAAAGUUUGCUAAAUUUCUAAGAAGUGAAUUUCCUCAAUGUUAAACUAAAAUUGCAUUACCUCCAUCAGAGCAGAUAUGAGCCUUGUAGCGAGGUGGUCACCCUCCUCGGAACAAACUAACUGAUGAAAUGUCAUUUGAACUAAUGCCUGUCGCAGAUUAGCAUCAAACCCCUGAACCAAGCGUGUUACAUGGUGCUGUGAAAGAAGCUGGAGCAGAAACAGGGCUUCACUGGAUCUAAGAAGCAACUGCCUGAUGCAUUCCAUUGCCCUCACCUGUCAAAUUUUUAAAAAACAAAAACAAAACAAAAAUGAGGAAUAGAAAUGAAAAAGUACAGUAUGAACACCUUUCUACACUAUAGAAAUAAGCAAACUACCUCCAUGGCUGCCAAUUCAGCGGGACUAUAUGGUAAUCUCUGCCUUUUAUUAGACAUACCACCAUCAUUAGACUCAGUGUUCCGUGAGUAAGUACCAAAUAAGUUUCUCACCAUACUGUGGUCACCACCACCUAAUUCUGAACCAAUUCCAUAAAGGAUAGAACCAGUCACAUCUCCUAAACCAGCAACACAACCAUAAAGUCCCCUCCUUUGGUUCCUUCUGGACUUCAGAAACUUCUCUAGAGAGCGAAUUUUGUUUUCAAGCACUUGCAUAGCCUCAAGAGAGAGCCUGCAUACGACUAACCCAUUUUCUGACAUUGCAUCUGCAGAACCUAAACCACCUUUUACAACCACAACAGGAAGUUCCCAUAUGGGAAAUAGCAACCUUGCAGAACACAAACAGAGCCCUUCAUGUGCACCUGAAAACACAGGCUCAGCCUCCUGAACAACCUGCCCCAUGCUGAAUCCCCCAGCAGCUGUUCUAGUGUUUGAUAAUGCAUUGCUGCCCUCAAGUUGUGGCAUUCCAACAAGUCUUGGGUCCUCGAAAGCUUCAGCUGCCUUCUGAGAAACAACAUUACUUAUAAGAGUUUCUGAAUGGACUAUCCUAGCUGCUAGCAUUAAACACAUCGCCGCUGCCUCACCAGCUCCAAAACGAUUGAAGAAUUCUUCUACGAUUGACCUGGGGAUGUUAGUCUCAAACAACCUCCUCAGAAUGUCCACAGGCCUAUUGAAAACUAUUUCCAUCAUGCCCAUAGUACUGAAAACAACAACUCGUCUCCUUGGCAAUAUAUGUUGGAUUGAAAGGUCACCUCUGGCCCAAAGUUUUCCAGUUACCUUUUCACAGGACUCAUCAGAGCCUUCAUAACCACCAUAUUCAAUUUCUGAAUACAGAGACUGUACAGUGGUUGCAGUAUCAGGCAAGGGGAAAACAUCGGCUACAAAAAGCAUCCGUCCUUCAACUGGUAAAGAAGAUACAGAUUCCCGUAAUGCCCGAGAACUCCUUGAACUUGUCCCCGAAGUACUUGACCCAGCUGAUUGUGUGCUUGAAUCGCGGCUCACAAGAAGAAGAGAAGCCAUGGUUGGUGGAGAUGAAUCAGAAAGGACAAGAGUUCCAGCAGAAUAAUAUGCUGCCUCAACCUUUAGGGAGAGAUCGUCAUUCUGAGGUCUACCAGCAAGAGACAUGCUUCCAAAGGCAAGUCCACCACCGACCCCUAGUGGAGGAGAAGGCCUAGUUGUCACAACUUUUAAACAGCUAGGUUUAUGGUUGGUAUUAAACCCACCCAAAUUUCCACUAGAUGGAGAAGUGGUAAGGUACAUCCUUCUGCCAUCGGACAAAACAGCAACAAGGUGUAGAGACUUAGAUUCCAGGGUAGACAAGGGUGAAAUGCAGACUAUAGAUGACUUUGUAGAUCGAUUUGGACCUCUAGGUCCAGUUGAUUGUCUACCCCCAUAAUGAGCAUCCCUCUGAUUUAUCAGAUUCCUUUCUUCUGCCACCUUUUUCAAUGGCCCAUCAACAUUUUGCCCCACAAUAAACACCUGAAGUUUCAUUUCUUCAGUUCGUGCAUACAAGAUGUGUCUUUCAUUAUCAAAAACCAUUUCAAUGAUGGGGUCAACAGCUCCAAACUUAAAAAGAUUUGGUACUACCCAUCUGAAAAAAAACAAAGAUAUGUUUAUGUUAAUAUGUUAUCUUUGAAAAGAAUAUUCAAAUUCAAUGUUAUAGGUGCAAAUUAGAAAAUCCACAAGCACAAUUAUUACUUUGAAGAAAGCAAAUUAAGGAAAAUAAAUAAAUAGGAUUUUCCCUUAACCUUGAAAUAACGCUUCCUAAACCGGCAGUCAGACAAACUUUUCGGCAACGCUUUUGCCAGCCUGAUCCAGUUGUAUAAUGUAGCUCAUAAAUGUGGCCAUCACGCCCAGCAAGGAAAAUACGACCCUUGUCAGUACACGUGAUACAUGUCAUGGUGAUCCCAUCAGAUGGUACUGUAUAUUCUGGCAAUGGCUGUAGUGAGACUUCUGCAUAUGGAUCUGUGCCAUCAGCCCCUCCAGAGCAACAUACUCCUACAAGAAUUAACUGAUAAAAGGCAAAGACCAUUAAGAACUACAAACUUCAACCAAGAUAAUAUAAAGUGUUAAAAAUUACAUGAUAGAACCAACUUAAAAGAAAAACUAGGGGCGAGUAUUAAAAAAUAAAAAGAUACAGCUCAAACAAAAUUCAACGAAGUGCAAAUACAGAACACCGGAAAUUUGCACCUAGUUAUGUUACUGAAUAUUCUAUUUUCAAGUUAAAUAUUCUUCUGGAGAAAAGAGAGCCAAUACUGGAGGCUUCUGCCCAGCCAUGCCCCUGUCACGAGAUAGUUUUUUUCCAAGACUCGAACUGCAACCACCAAGUUUCUUAGGGAAGACCCUAUCCUUAUAUUUAGAUAAUAAUGUCUUAGUCCAACCUAUAAAAAUGUAUCUCAGUAUAAUUUGAAGCAAUGUGCACCCCACUGGUCACAAUGUUAAGCAGUCCUCACUACACAAAAAAAGUUCUAAAACAGCAACUAUUGUACUUGAUUGGCUGAACCAAGAUAACAGGAAGUUUUCCUUAUUCAACAGCUCCAACAAUCAAUUCUUAACUCUUAUUUAGUAAGAUUACAGAUUAUUUCUUAUUUAUUAUAUAAAAAAGCUUAUAUUAUUCAAAACCUGCUUCAUCUUCUAUGACAUGGUAUCGCUGGCUCGUCAUUUUAGGUGAUCCAGAUGUUAUUGAAGGGAAAUUUUUCUUUUCUUAUUUUCCCCUUCUUCAUUUCCUUCAUAAAGGGGUCCCCUUUUAUACCACCAAGUGCACUACGGUUGAAUUAUGCCCCUUCCUUUGGGAUAUUUCACAAAUAUACAUAUAACUUUAAAGGAAAAACUUUAAGAGUAUAAUCAUGAAAUGAACUACUCUGUAUCUACAUGACUCCAAACUCACAACAUUAAAAGAAUAUAAAUGAGAUAAAGACCAACUUAAAUACCUCAACAGGUGUUGCCAAAAUCAAAAGAUACUGAAUAGCUUCAACAAAAACACCAGGUUUAGAUUUAGCAAGGCCAACAGCACAAAUAGCUUGAUCCUCCCCACUAUAUUCAGGACAUUGUCCAUCCCUGAUGAAGAAAGAAUAUUAAAGAGAGGCAAUGGAAAGCAUGUAGAGAUGAAAGCCAUUAACCAUGGUAAAAAGGCUACAAAUAUGGUACUAAUUAAUAUGUAACAAAUUGCCUACAGGUGUAUGGUAUCAUGAAUGGUUUCCUAUAUUUGUUUAUAAGGUAUCAUAUGUGCCAUACAUUGGACAGCAAUUUGGACACAUUUUCCUAUAUAUGUAUGUAUCUGUCCAUUUAUGUAUACUAUAUUCGUACGGUUGCAUGAACACACAUGAAGAAAAAGUUAAGAGAUGUACAAGAAUACAAUAAACAUUCAUAAUAAUACAUCAGAAUUCAAACUACACUUAUCCAGUUGGUAAGUGUCGUCUACUCUACAAUAAUUUUAUAAAUAAUCUCAUUAAAACGCUGAAACCAAUAUAUAAUGGCGCAAAAACACAACAUGGAUCAUCUAUAGGUAAUUUUCUGAGGUCGGAAUAUCAUGUCUUAAUGUUAACUCUAUCAGAGCUUAUUAACAGUUACUCUCAUAGAUCUCAUGGCAGACAUUUACUAUUUUAAUGAAGUCUAAAAUAGACUAAAAUGAUAAAUGUACACCAAGUCUCAAACUUUAUUUCAGUAAGGCCAAGCAAAGUUACAACCUUUACACUAUUAUGGUAAGGAAAAUUAAAUGAAGGAGAAAUAAAAACAAAGGAGAGGAUAAGGUAAGGGAAGGAAAUGGUUUUUCUCUCCCUUUGUAAGAUAGUAAGUAGUGGCCAAUGAGUUAAAGAGAGGGAAUGAGAGUAAAGGGUAUGCUAUUACAAGUAACCCUUAUAUUCUUCCUUACAUACAAUGAUAGAAAAGUAGCUUAGAAAGAUUCUCUUCUUUCCCUCCUCCAAUCUAUCCAAUUGGAAGGAGAAGUUUUUCUAGUCUUGGAAGGAUGACCUCUCCCUUCACCUCUCUCCCCUUCUCAAUCCCUAAAACCAGACAAAGGAAAAUGCCUACAUCGUUCACCUUUGUUCUUCCUCCUUUUUUCCAUCCAUCCAUUUUGACCUCCUACCAAAGUCCAAACACUUAGAGAGCACCUAUGUAGCAGUUGCUCAGAGCUUUUAACUGAAUUUUCAAUCGUGUCAAAUAAAGUUUAUAUCCAUUUGAACUUCAUAUUUAUGAAAAUAAUGUUAAAGAAGGAGAUCCCUCACACAAGCAGAAUGAUCAUUAUCAUCGUUAGAUGAAAUAUAUGUUGUAUCUACCAAGGUAUGUCCUCCCCAUGUUUAACUUAUUGACUUAGCUUGUCAUCUCUAUUGUUUUGCAGGUCACUGACUGACAGAUAUCAAUUGUCGUAUCUAUGAAGUGAGAAUAUCCAUAAGCUUAAUUAUGAUCUACACCUUGGAAUAAGAUAAACUUUUUCUUUCUUUUCACAGUUUUUUAUUAGCAAUAUUAUCAAACUAAGACAAUAAACUCACCACUUGUCAAAACGCCAGAGAAACAAGGAAUUAUCUACCGAUGCCCAUGCCCUACGAAUCUCAGGAAAUAUCCCACAUAAUGAAUUUCCUUCCCCACCAGCUGCAUUAUAUCUUUCAAUAAGUACCCCAGGCAACUCCCAAGUAUCCACCACCUCAACCAAAGGCGGCCACUGCAAUGGAAUUAAACAUCAUCGUAAAGCUUUGAAGAAUAGAAUUGAUUUUAAGUUAUAUAAUAUAUCUAAACAAAGUUAUGAUACUACCACAAUGUCAGAUUAUCAAACAUCAAGAACAUGAAAAAGGCACUGCACAUGAGCUGAAAAUAAUCAUAGCCUUUUUUUUUAAAAGCUUAAUAUACGAGCCUUACAACUGUAAUACAUCAGAAAAAUACUUUUCUCAAAAUUAUAUUUAAAAAAUAAUAGCAUAAUAUUUUACUACUGUUAAGAUCAAGUAAUGUUAGGAAGAAGGAUACAGUUAACUCAUUGAAUAACAGAAGAUCAAGUGUAAUAAAUAACUAUAAAAGCAUUAAGUUUUAUCACUACCCAGUAGUACCCUGAUAAUGCCCAUAAUUCAAUUCAAGGUUAUACUAAUUAUGAUUGAAACUUCUGUGAACUCCGAAUGCUCAAUCCCACCAAAAAAAAAAACACAGCCACGCGAAUAACAUAGCAGCCAAGCCAAAAAUCUUACCAAGAGAAACAAUCAUCCCAAAACUAACACAUUGCAGUCUGAGCCUUAUAUUUUUCACUUAUACCACAAAAAUCGUAGCUUUUAAUUCGCAUAAACAUGGAAAUUACCUCUCUGGGAUGAGUAGAAUAGGGGUGACUAGCGUAUCUGGAAGCUUCUAGGGCUUCUUCAAGAUCAAGCUGAGACGAGACUUCUCGGCCAAUGCGGUCACUCACGACGAGGCCCGCAUUAGUGACAUCGCGCAUAACGAUUUCGUCCUCCCAAGACAUGCCGUUGGAAACCCUAGAACUCUGAACAAGAAAAUUGCACAAAUUGAAACACUGCCUGCUAGAUUGAAUUGGAGCCGGAAGUCGGUUUUCCCUCCCUUUGUUGAAACCAAACAGGGCAAGUCUUGAAUUGGAGAGCACUAUUCACACCGCUAUGGUAAAGAGCGUUGGAGUAGAGAGAUUUGUAUUAUAGGGUUUUGGGGAGGCUUUGUUUGUGGCGGGCAAAUUAAGCUACUUUUGAAAAAACCGGAGGGGCCGGUUCAUUGAACGGCUCGGUUCGUCCGUGUUGAACUAGGAUUUAUUUGUUUUUAAGAGGCCCGAAAAAAAAAUAAUAAUAAUGUGACUACCAAUAGAACAAGCAUGAUUUUCAUUGACAAAAUACAUGGAUACUUUAGGUUUUACCAGGAGUGGACACAGUCUGGAUUGAAUUGGUUUCACUUCAAAAUCACAGUCGAAUCAAUUACAAUAUAACAAUUUGGUUCAGUCAGUUUAGGCCUAAGUCCAAUUAUCUUUCCUUUUGCAUUUUUUCAACAUUAUUAGACCAAUUACAACAACAAAAUUCACAACUUGAUGCAUACUUUUUUCAUUUUCUAGUGUACCAAACCGUCCUAAAACUCAACAUGCCAUAAAACUUCAAAAUUCAAUAACUAAUAUAGCUACAAUUCAACAUUCAUAUAUAGUUAUUUUCUAAUUAGAGGACUACACAUGUAAAAUUAAAUAUAAAUAAGUAUACAAGUAGGUCCGGUUCAAUUUAGGCAAAGUUUACAAAAGCUUAAAAUCAAACCAACCCAAAUAAUAUACAGUCUCAUUUGGUUUUUAAACCAUUUGAAUUUUUCUUGGUCAAAAUCAAAUCAAAUCAAAUCAAACCAAACCGGUAAUUAUGAAUUGAAUCACCGAUUUAGUUGGUUCGACCAUAUUGAUGCCCAUCCCUAGAUUUUACACGACCGGUUUAUAUAUGCUCACACUCCCCCAAUUGAUAUUACACAUAUGUUGGUGCUUAAAAAAAGCCUUGCCAAGAGCAUGCGAGAGGUCUUUUUAUUAAUCACGACGAACAUCUAGAAAAAUACAAUUACAAAUAUAUAUAAAGUAUUUUAAGUCGCCAUACGAUAGAUCUAUCCUAAGUAAAUUUCAUCGAUAUAGGUCUAUCGUGACUCGGUCUAUGCUGCCGAAAAAUCUCACGCUGGGAUACGUUUAUCGUAUCAAAGAUUCGUCAGGAUAGGUAUGCUUGACAAAAAAUUUGCGGGAUAGGUAUACCCAACAAAAAGAGAUAGCUCUAUUGCGACAAAUAUUUGCUGGCAAAGGUCUAUCACGACGAAUGUUUCGCUGAGCUAGGUCUUCCCGACAAAAAAACUCGCGGGUCAUGUAUAUCCCGACAAAUGUUUUGUUGGGCUAUGUCAACCCAACAAAACUUAUGACAGGGUUGAUCUUUCUGACAAAAAUUUGUUUGUAUCGGGUUAUGUUUAUCUCGUCAAAGAUUCGCAGGAUAGGCCUAUCCCAAAAAAAACUCGCUGGGAUGGGUAAAUAUUUUCAUAAGUUAGUUUCCCUUGGUUGACCAAAAAAAAAGAAGUUAGUUUCCCUUUUUUUUUUUUCUUUUUUCUUUUUUAAAUAAUGAAAAUAUUUUCCCUGUUCGCCCCACAAAACAACCUUUUUGCCCAAAAAGAAAGAACACAUAACAGUCCCUCUCCAGUUAGGCAAAAUAUAGAAAUCCCUAGCUUCUCAUAGUCCCGCCAAAAUGUGGUCUCCCCGUUCUUAUUUGUCUUCAACACUUUCCUAGAUUGAGACGCAAGACGACGACGUAUUGGUACUCACCGGCAUCGUGUAAGCUAUGACAGUUUCCAGUGCCUUCAACGCAUUCAAGUCAUCUAAAUCCGUCGUCUGGAAAUCCGUAAACACACUCUCAGUCUCUGUAAAUACAUACAUGACUUUACAUCUCCCUCCCUUUUCCUCAAGUCAUUUUCCGGUUGAUUUUCUAAGCAAUUUUUAAUGUCUGAAUGUGAUUUGUAUUGUUUGAUUACAGACUGGUAGGCUUCAGCAAACCAUAGCGGGAUGCAUAGAGCGGAAGGGGAAAGGCUUGCACAGUGGAAAGGUCUCCACGGUGAAAUUGUGGCCAGAGCUUGUCAGCAAAGGAAGGUACUUUGAUUUUCAGCCCAAUGUGAUACGAGCUUCGAUUGAGUUUGCUGAGGAAUCGCCUCUGUGCACCACUCUCUGUAAAGAUGGGGUCAAAAUUCGAACGGUUGAGCACUUGCUUUCUGCUUUGGAAGCUAUGGAGGUUGAUAAUUGCCGGAUUGAGAUAAAGAACUCAGACCCCGAAGAUUUCGAUCUUGAGGUUGGUACCAUAUAUUUGUGAAUUUUCGAUUUGUCUUGAGGAGGACUUGCUCUUGAUUUCACUAGGAGACAUAUCAGGGGGGAAAUUACACAUAGUAGGUUAUUGGGGGCGCUUGAACUGUGUAAUUGCCACUUCUAAGAAAGUUGAGGCAAUCUGAAUUUAGAACAUAGAGAACUAUUGAUUCUUGAAUAUGACAUAGGAAAAGUAAUAAUGCCCAAAAUCAAGUCAUGCAGGUUCCUAUUUUUGAUGGGUCAGCAAGUGAGUGGGUAGAGGCUAUAGAACUAGUUGGCUUAAAAGAGGCAACAGAUCAUUGUGGCAACUGUUGUGAGAAGAUGGCAGCAUAUGUGAAUGAACCAGUGCAUGUGUGGAGGAAUGAUUCUUUUGUUGCUGCAUUUCCAUCACCAGAAAUUCGUAUCACUUACGGGAUCGACUUUCGACAGGUACACAUUUUGCUGGAUUGGGAAUUCUCUUCACUGACAGCAUGGUUUUGGAAUGUGAAACAAAGAAGUGUUCUUAUUAAAUAUCCUUACUUGAAAGAGAUUGGUUACUUAAUGAGAGGAAUGGCUAUCAAAUAUCUGCAGAUUAUUUUGUUUUUCUCGCUACUUCUUUGUCCAAAUGUGAGAAUUCAUAGGCAAAGUUUUGGGCAUGCUUGUUUGACACUUUCUGCAGGUGCAGGCUAUUGGCUGCCAGUGGUUUUCUGUGACCUCCUUGGAUAACUCUUUCUAUUCCAAGCACAUUGCUUUGUCAAGAACCUUUUGCAUUUAUGAGGAGGUCAAUACUAAACGGUUCUCCAUUAGUAGUCUUGAAAUUACUUUCUGUUUUCUGUUAUAGCUUAGUUAUAUAUUGUUGAAUUUAUUAUGGUAAUGCUUGACUCCAUGUUCUAACAGGUGGAGCGAAUGCGGAAUGCAGGACUCAUAAAAGGGGGUGGAUUAGAAAAUGCACUUGUUUGUAGGUGAGACGCUCCAUUUAUGUUAAGUUGAACUAGUUAGGAGAUGACAUGGGUUGUUCAAAUGCGAAUUGGGUGGACUGAAGUGACAAUUGCCAGUUGGAUAUGAUUUUAUUCCAGUUAAAACAACGAGUUCAGGCAGAGAAUUUGUUGAAGCGUGUGGGGAAUAUAUCAUUGUCAACUUGAUUUGGGAGAAAACACUUAUAGUACACUUAAUCCUAUUUUUCUUUUGCAGUGCUAGUAAAGGUUGGUUGAACCCACCACUGCGUUUUCCAGAUGAACCUUGUCGCCAUAAGGUCUUAGAUCUUAUCGGCGAUGCUUCCCUGUUUGCAAGGUUUGGCAGUCAAGGGUUUCCAGUGGCACAUAUAGUGGCAUACAAGGUAUAUACGUUUGUCUUAUAUUCAUGUCUAAGAAGAGCUUAGAACAAAAUGGUUAUGAGAUAUUAAGUCCAUUGUUUGUUUGUGUGGCGUGUCACGCAGGGUAGCCAUGCACUGCAUUCUGAUUUUGUUCGCCGGCUAUCAGGAAUUAUAUAAAAGGAUAAUGUCUUGGUCCUCUAGAUGUCAUUGUGAUGUAGCAACGAUCCAGAAAUUCAGAUGCAGAAAUAUGGAAGUAGAUUACAGAAGUAGACCGGCAUAGGGUUUCAAGUUUCAACCUAAAAGUGCGCAUAUUACAGAAGUAGAUUUACCCCGGUAACUGCUUGUAUUUGAAAAUUGGCUUGGUGAAAUGAUGUAAAGUUGUAUGCCUUCAAAUUGUGUAACUACUGUUCUCGAUCAAGGCAAAAAAUUUCCCGGUAGGACAUUCUCUGUGAAAGAGUUAAUUAGAAACCAGAUAAUCAAAGCUUGGUUCAUCAAUUUAUACUCCUUUUUUUCUGUGCCUAUAAACUAGGUCAUGCACUGCAUUCUGAUUUUGUUCGCCGGCUAUCAGGAAUUAUAUAAAAGGAUAAUGUCUUGGUCCUCUAGAUGUCAUUGUGAUGUAGCAACGAUCCAGAAAUUCAGAUGCAGAAAUAUGGAAGUAGAUUACAGAAGUAGACCGGCAUAGGGUUUCAAGUUUCAACCUAAAAGUGCGCAUAUUACAGAAGUAGAUUUACCCCGGUAACUGCUUGUAUUUGAAAAUUGGCUUGGUGAAAUGAUGUAAAGUUGUAUGCCUUCAAAUUGUGUAACUACUGUUCUCGAUCAAGGCAAAAAAUUUCCCGGUAGGACAUUCUCUGUGAAAGAGUUAAUUAGAAACCAGAUAAUCAAAGCUUGGUUCAUCAAUUUAUACUCCUUUUUUUAUGUGCCUAUAAACUAGGUCAAACUCCAACUUCUGGUAGUCAACACAGUGAGCCUGGCGUUCAACAAAACGAUGUUAUUAGUUCAUAUAUAACUAAGACUACUGCCAGAAUAACCGAGUUACACCACACAUUCUUAGCAACCUCAUAUCAACAGAAAUACAUAAUAAAUAUGUAAAACAAUCGUUUUCCUUGCUAAGAAAGGAACCCUAGUAACACAUUAAGAUGUUGAAGCCUGUAUCUUUUUCUCCAUCUUUGCACAGGCAUGAAACAGCACAGACGAAAACAGAAAGAAUCAAGACGACUCCAAAUGGCCGGAAAACGGACAAAAUGAGGUCUAGUUAACUAUGCUGUAAUUCAAUGUCAAUAAAUAUUUAAAAUCUUUGCUCUUUAUGCCUUGACAUUUCUGUACAUACGCCACUGUGUGCAGAACCAACCACUUGCAAUGUCCUGUUGAUCCUUCAAACCGGUUCAUUUCCCUUGAGAAUGUUGUACUUGCAGAGAGGACAUGUUGCAUUCAUUUUAAGCCAUUUUACAAUGCAAGUAGCGUGGAAAUGAUGAUUACAGGGAAGAGUGUGAAGCUCUGUACCAUCCUCAUAGGGGCUGAGACAUAUACAACAUUCCUGGAAAGAGAGCCAAAACCAUACAUCUUUAGAGCAUAAAAAUUCUUCAUAAAUUUCCAAAAUACCAUAAAAGCACAAAUCGCUUUAAUAUUUGGCCUGUAAAAGAUACCCAUUUACCAACUGACCCUCAUAAGUACAUACAUCAGUAUAACUCUCUGGCAUAAUAUGGAGGAUAAAUGGGGUUUUUCUUAUUAAAAUAAAAUUUUCUAAUCAACUAUAAUAAACAGAUUGAGUUCAACAUAAUAGGAGUAAUAUACUGAAAUAUAAAUGCAAUUCAUGAUAAUGUGAUGCCAAAGCAUACCGCGUCCUCAGGUAAAAGUAUACGCUCAAUUGCUAAGUACCCACUGCUUGUUUCUACUGGAAUCAUUUUCCCUGCUCCAACACUAGAUUUUUCUUCACUGCUCGAUCGAAAUCUGUAUUUUGGAAGAAUACUGAGAUCUGCGUCAGAUGCACCUUCCUACAUUGUCACACCAACAAAAGAAAAAAAUCAAGUCAAGAAUAAGCAGUUACAAUUUCUUAAUUUUGUCGAUAAAUUUUUGAAUCAAAGGUAUAGGUUAUCACUUCAAACCUGUCCAGCAACCGCAUAAAGAAUUGCAAUGAUGCAUGGCAAACAGCAACAAAGAGCAACUCCAAUCAAACAUGCCAGAACAACACAAAAGAUGGCAAAGAAGACAUCAAAUGCCAGAAAAACCACAGCCAACCUGCACACAUUCAGAAUAAAAUAUAUAUUUUUUAUUCUAGAAGUUACAAACUUUUUAGAUAAUUAGGCCGUUCAUAGUCUAUAGACACACAAAGAGAUGACAGCUCAGGGUGACUCUUGUGUUAAAAUGGGCUGACAGUCAUUACAGUUUUAGCACUAUAGAAACUUAAAGUAAGGUUUUAGUUUUAGAUGUGAUCUGCCCUGGCCCAGCUUUUGUAUUCAUCUCUAACAUUAUAAUGCCAUAACUCCCUUCUGGUGAAACUUUUUAAAAUUCCUAAAAGUUGCUUGUUUUAAACAAAUUAAAUUACUAUAUUAUAAAAAAGGAAAGAAAGAAGACACGCAUACAUGCACAUAAUUUGAGAUGAAGGAAUAUUUCUUAAUAGAUUGGUUAUAGAAAUACCAGUACAAACGUGGAGCAUUUUGCAGAAGAACUUCACCGCCAGCGACUACCCAAUAAAAGCCAACUAUCCACCAGAGAAACGAUGCCAUUGUGUUCACUGUUUCGCAUCGUUUAGAGAGACUAGGCCAUAUAAAAUGCAGUCAGUCAGUAAUUUAUAGACCUUCCACAAACAGGUACUAAGGCAGCACAUGAAAACUCUAAUUGCAGAUAAAGCUGGGGACUGGAAAUACCAUAGGAAGUAGUCAUAACAGUUUGGUCAAAUUCACAAACAUAUUUUGCAUGCAUCAUCCCCACACAAAAUGAAAUGUAGAGAGCAAAAUAUGAGCAACUUCAAGAUUAAAGCUUUGAUGAGUUAAGUUGGAUUUUUACAAACCAAAAAACCAAAAAAAGUGAUGAUAUGAAUAAUGCCAGAAUCAUAACUAUGAAAUCCAAAACGUUUCCGACUGUCAUUCCCCAACUCUAAUAACUUCCAAACAAGCAAAGAUGUCAAUAUCCCAUCUUGGACUAUGCAGUAAAGAUCUCAGUCGGAUGGCAUACAAGGACAAGUGGAAUUCGAUUAUGGGCUUAAAUUAGUCACUAAACAUGGUUAUGACGUACUCUAAAUAUCCAACCACCACUACUAUCCACCUCUUAUGUGAUACAUAGGACUCAGCCAAACUCAAUUUAUAUUGUGAGAGAGCAACCCCAUUCAUCAAGAUUACUGGGUUUCAGUGUCCACUUUGAACUCCAUGAACCAUAACAACUAUAUCCAAAAGCAAAUUAGAAGAAACCUGGAGCGCGUGGAAAUCGCCAAAUCCCUAGCUGCUGCUGCUGCUUCUUCAUCGUCGGUAUCAUUUGCAUCGAUUUCGACCUGGUGCUGGUUCUGCUGGGCGUCCUGGUUUCUUCUACUGAUCCUCCGAGCAAUAUUAUUCCUUCUCUGGUACUCAACCCACACCAACACCACAUGGACGAAACACUGCAGCGCAUAUCCACAGAUCCACAGCCGGAUCGGCGUGUUUGGGUGCUCAUGGUCUGUCCAUAUCAGCAUCGCCACCGACACCACCACGAACGCCGUGUUCCACAUCAUGUCCAGAGCCACCACCGGCUUGGAGUAGCCCCAGUCGGCGCGCCGCUCGUCCAGUUCCCGGGCCGCCGUCUCCCGCACCAGCAUCGAGGGGCCACGGCGACCGGUGGCCCGCCCCAGCAGCAUCGCCAGCGUGGCGGGUCGGGCGGUCGGGGAGCCGAGGUCGGAGGAGUCGCGGCCGCUGCUCGCCUGGCGGGGAAGGAGGAGCGGCGCAUGGGACUCAGCCGCUGCCGCCGUCGUAGCCGAAGAUUCCGAGGACAUGUUUGUGAUGAAAUUAUGAGAAAAAGAGGCAAUUGAAUUGCCAAUUAUAAUUGAGAGAGAAAUAGAGACAUGAUUGAGAGAGAGAGAGUGUGUGUGCUCGCCUCUUCCUUCCUAUAUUACAACUGUUAGUAUUAGUAUUAGUGAGGGAUAUGGUGAUGGGUUUGGGAAUUGUGUGUGUCUUUUUUCAAAGUCGCAAAGUCUCAACACUUUGUGUUUUGAAUGGUAGAUAGACAUGGAUGAAAGGUUUUUGCUGGUUUUUUCGUCAUUUCGGUAAUUGACUCCUCUUUUGAGUUUUUGCGCCAAAUACCCUUCUUAUUUGCCAGCGCACGACGGCACACCGCUCAGUUUCUUUUUUUAUCUUAAUUGAUCAGCCUCAAUUUUUCUGCCCUUUAAAAACUUUCAGCAGUCAAAUUUCUUUAUUAAACAAUGAGAUAAUGAGACAAAGGCAUAGAAACAAGAUAUAUUUAGUUAUAUAUUCAUUCUUAACACUAAUAUUAUAAAUAAAUUAUAUACAAUUGAAUUUCUAUAAACAAACUUAAAAAAAUUCAAAAAAUGACAGCUGGCCUUAUUGAAUUUAAUAUUAAUUAUUAAAUUACUUUGAUGUCCUAUUGAGUGUUUUGAGUAUUUUUAUGAGAUUUCAAAGUUUGGCUUGUUUUAAGAAAUUGAUGGCAGUUUUGUAAUUUAUAAGAAGUUAAAAGUUUUUUUGUUAUGUUGUAAAUGAUCUUUGGAUGUGUUUCUAAAGUCCAUUUCAUAUGGAGUAUUUUUAUAAUUUGAGCUUCAAUAUUGUGUAUAAUAGUGAAUCUCCCUAAAAACAAUAUAGAAUUUUUCGUACUAAACUUUUUUCGUGGAUUCAUCGGUUCAUUGUUAAAAUUAAAAAAAAAAAAUCUCGUAGAAGAGAGAUGUUUUUACCUCUUUUUUUCAGACGAAUUUGUAGAAUAUGAUUGAAGUGUAUAAUAAACAUGUGCAUAUCUAAAUCUAACUAUAGCUAUCUAUAUAUACAUAUGCCGCUUCCCCUUUAUUAGAGCUCUAUUCAAAACAUGUUAUGCUCUAUUAGAAUUUAUAUUUUAUAUUCAAGGAAAAAUUGUAAAAAUUUAAACAUGAUAAUUUCCAGAAAAUUACCUAUGGGUAUCAUAUACAAACAAGAUACCCAAUUAGAUAAUAUUGUGUAACAAUUUAUGUUCUGGGAUUUACAUAUCCCCAUAAUUGCUGUUAUAAUUGAAAUUGAGAAGGAUUUUUUUGUAUUGGAACAAAAUCAAUACUGAUUAGUUAUGUAUCAAUUUUGAUUUUCUUAUAUCAUUAUAGUUAACGGUUCCAGUUUGUUCUGAAUUUUUGCUUUUGUGAAUGAAAAAUCCAAAUUUUGUUUUUUAAUAUUAAUAACUAUAAAAAUAAAAAAAAUUUAAAAGGGAGAUAAUUUGUUGUUGCCCACUCUAUUUAACAGAUUGCUAAUCAUAUUUGUUGUAUAAAGAUGGAAAUAUUAUGGAUGGGUAGAUGAUCACUAUGUGAUCUACAAAGGUACUAUAAAUGUUUUUGGAUUGUAGAGAUCCGGUCGCUUUCUUUCAUUAAAUUAUAUUCGAUACGUUGUCAAUCCAAUUUUCCCUUCACUCAACCAAAAAAAUAAAAUAAAAUAAGUUUUUGAAGAACAUAUAACUAGUGUCCUUUCAUAUUUUAUUUUAUUUUAUUUUAAAUUUUUUUGAAUGAAGAAUUAUUAGCUUCCUUUCACUCACCUAAAAUUCAAACGUGGUAGCAGAACCCCUUUGUGCCGCCAACAACUAUACGUGCUGGUAGGGCAGAACUACACGUGCUGGUCCUCCCUAAUGCCGUCUGACAGACACUCUGAUUGCGGCGCAACGACAUGUCGUGAACUUGUACUCAAACACGCGUCCUCCCUCUGCUCCAUGAAAUCCUCAGUAACAACAUGAGUCAGCCAGGCUACAGACACCCUUGUUUAUGCUGAUGUACGUUAAAAUUUUGACAGAUGGAAAUGAUUUUCCAUGCAAGCUUCUCAUCUGCCGUCCCCCAACUGCAGCAGAAAAACGCUGCUUCUUGGGAUUUGUUUUGAACAUCCAUUAAUCUGUAAGGGCAGUUGUUCUUCAAACAAAUGGACACAUGAAACGACUCCACUUGAAGAUGAUCCUCAAAAUCUUGGAUGUUCCCUUGAGAAAAUUCAUUUGACAGUUUUGCAGACAAUUGGCGAAGAAGCCGAGAGCAUGUCUCAGAUUUGCAAAGCUGACCAUCAUUUGUUGUUGAACUUUUGGUCUCUCCCAAGUGGCCAAUAUCAGCGGGGCAGCAAUAAGCAAAUUGAACUUGGUGCUUCUUUUCUCCUAACAUGAGCAGAAGCUCGUCUUGGUGUACUACCUUCGCUUUUUUGUUUCUCUCCAUAACCAAGACCCCUUCUGCUACCCUUUCAUCACUUACUCGCAGUCGCGGAGUGAAAUUAUUGUUUCUCGAAUUUGAACCGUGUUCAUCUUCUUGGCUGCUUUUCGAAAACUUGAAGUUUGGAUUUGAGCAGCUUCGGAUAAAUGCGUCCGAAGCUAAUGCCUUCACAUAGUGGGUUGAAGAAAUUGAGACAGUCUCAUUGUUUGCAGGGUCAUGACAUUGAAUUCCCAGUUCGGACUGUAUUUUUCCUUUUAGAGUAGCCAUUUUAGGCUUCUCGCCAUGAACAAGUAUCACGUUCUUUGGGGAAAGAAAUUUGAUAAGGUCCAUAAUCCCUUUGGCAUCUGUAUGAGGACUGAAAGACAGAUGAUGAAUCUGGCAAUCAAAAUUGAAUGUAUAAGAGGACAAUCAUGAAGAAAUGCGAAAAACAGAAGAAAACUUCUUUCAAUUUGUAUUUGUAAACAAAUCACCUCAUGUGUAAAACUAUUAAAAAUGAAAAUUCAAUGGAAACAUUCUUGAAGAAGAAUGUUGAAACUAUUGUAAAGGGUGAGAGAUGAAGUUGAACCUGGCAUCGCACAUCAAUUUGCGUGUCCUUGUCCAGAUCAAUUUUGGUGGGUUUACCCGACAUCAAUUUAUGUCCUAUAGUUCCAGCCACGCAAUACCUAGAAAAGGACAGAAAAAAUUGAUGACUAAAAGUUCAACUUGGCACCCUAUUCUUUCUUUUUUCCUUUUUUUUGUUCCGCCUAUCAAGUCCCAGCAAACCAUAGUAUCAUAUGGACAUAGAACAUGACGACAUUGUCUUUAAAUUUUAAACAUCAAAAGAGAGUUACAAUGUAGAUCAACUCAACUGGUAACUGAAAAAUAUAUUCCAGAAUUUACUAUGGUGUUUGUUAUAGCGAUCACCUUCUAGGUUCCAAAUUCCAACCCAAAAGUUUCCUAUUGAUAUCUGAUAAUAAAUUUGAGAUUUGGAGAUAAAUGAAAUUGAAGAAGGCAGUUACCCGGGCAGUGUAACAAGAUUCAUUUCCGAAGGAGCCCAGUGCUUGAAAACUUCAAGUGAAAAACCACCACUGAUCAUCCCUGGUGUGGCAAACAGAACACAAGGUCCAGGAGCAUUGAUCAUAGAACGGUCAAACUUGUGAGCUGCAACAUUCAAAACAAAAAAAAGUAAGAUGGAGGGCUCAUUAAACAACUAGUUAUCAAGCAAUGAAAUAAUAUAUUCAAUAUCAAUUCUCACAAAGUUAACUUAAAAUGUAGAUACUCGUAUGUCUAUAAUACUGCUGUGUGGUUCUUCCUUUUCAUCAACAUUUUAUAUUGCUACUUGAUAAACUACUCACUCUUAAUCUUUUCUGCUUUAAAUCCCAAAGAACAACCUUAUAUAUAUAUUUUUUUGGUUAUAACAACAUUAUAUCUUGAUUUCCAAGAAACAACAACUUCAGUCCCUCAGAAAUUUAAUAACAGAUAAAAUAAGUACCAUUUUUAAAAUCAAAUGCAUUGCGUGUGGAGUACGUUUCUUUAACUUUCUGGCUGGUCCAACUGAUAAGCAUCUUAUAGUACAUAUUGGCUUGAAGGGUCAGACCUGAAAUAAUAUCAUCAGUAAAAAUUUGAAACACCACUGUAUACCAAGAAAGAAAUGAAGGCACCCCUAGAAAUUGAGAAACUGUAAAAGAUUUGCCACAUCAGAAAAUUUUUCACACACGCAGAUAAACUUCCAGAAUCAUGUCAAAGAUGAAAUUAAUAACACUUUGAUCCCUGCUAGAUAGCUACUUCUUGUUUAUACAUUAAUUAUCACUAAUCACAAAUUUCUAAGAUUUAUUUACCCACGUUAUAGGUAUCAAAAUGUUAUCAGAUCAAGAUUGGUGCAAGUAACAAAACUUAGAUUGCAAAGUAUCCACUUUGAUAAGUGAGAGCAUAGCAUACAGUUUGACCACAUAUCCUGCAAACAGUUAAUAGAUGUGAGAGGGAAGUACAGAAGCUAGUGCAAACCUGCUGAGAAGUAAAUAGGAACCUUUAGAUUCAUGCGCUCCCAAUAAUCUUCCAGCAAGAUACAGAGCUCCUACAAAAUAAUAGAUUACAUUCAGAACAAAAUGUCACAGCCGGGGCUCAGAAUUGGCUACGAAAAUCAUUAGCACUAAAAUAAACAGAAUCAAGAUCAAACAUAAAGAUACAAAGAAUUAGAAUUGUUGUAGCAGUGUCUGGUGUCAUGAAUUCAAGGCGUUAAAGUUGGAAUAUGGUUGUUUAUUUCUGUCAUAUAAAUGAUGGAUUUUUAACUAGAUAUAAUUUCCAUAAAAAUCUAAAUCUAUUAAUACAAAUCCAUUAUCUAACUAGCUUGAAAGGCAUCAAUACGAUAACAAUGCUGAUUAAAGUAUGAAAGCUUAAUAAGGACGCGAAGGCUAACUGCAAGGAACUUUGUAAUUCAGAAGCAAUUAUUCAGGACUUCAGAGGUCUCUCUCAUUUUUCCUUCUUAGAACAGGAAGAACUUCCUUCCAAGUACAAAAUAUAAAUACGAAGUCAAAGAAAAAUGAAACUCUCUUAAUUAGAGUACCUGAGCUCUCCCAAGAGCAAAUGUUGGAAUUAGCACUUUUCCACCACCAGCGACGCAUUUGUGAACCUACAUAAACCUAUAUUAGAGAUUACCAACAAAACCACCUUCAGAGGAGCAAGAUAAGAAAAUCUUGCAUCCAAUUUUGACAGCCACCAGUUUCACAAAGGAAUACAUAUAUGUAUGACAUGUAUGACAUCAUCAAUAGAAAUUGAUUCUUACGGCAAUGAGUUGCAUGUUAAAGAACCAAGAGUUUGAUAAUUAUGACUCUUUACACUAGUUUAAAUUAUAGUAUGAACUGUUGAUACUUCAAUUUUGUCAUUUACGUACAGCUCUGAGAAAUUCUCUUUCCCGGGCAUAUUUUGAAUCCCGGAUGGUUGUUCCAUAUGUGGACCUGUAACAGGAAAAAAUAUCUAUGUAUAAGCGAGUGCAUGGAAUGGAACACAAAGGUUUCAUACAUUAAAAGAAAUUGUACUCAGAGUUCAUCAACAAAGGACAUCCAAUGUUUAACAAAUGAUAAGGUGCAAAGUCAAAUAAUAUACAAGACAUAGAUAUCCCAUACUCUGAAAUAAGAAGGUCCAAAUUUAGUCGUUCAAUUUGAGCUGCUCCAAGAUGCCUAUCUGGUGUCAUAUUAUAGUCUCCUGUGUAUACCAUAGCAGCGUCUCCCACCUUUGCAUAAAACAUUGCAGCUCCAAGAACCUUAGAAGAAAAAUAAAUAUUAGGACUCAAGGAAUGACACACGAAAGUGACAAACAGUAUUGACUGUUCCAAGAAAAUUAUUAACGAAAUAGGAGAACUAUAAUUCUUUUCUGGUGUGUAUAAGCAUGAUAUCAACAGAUAAUGUAUUCUAGAUGUGAGAUAAACAAGACUUACAUGUCCUGCAUAGUACGCACGGAUUUGAAGGUCUUUAUCAACCUGCACUGUUUGCUUCAGAUCCACCGGUAUAACUGCAUUGAGGAACCAUAUAAAAAAGUAACCAUAAAACAAUAACAGAAUAGCUGAAUUUCAGAAAACAAAAACAACCCUUAACUUGUGAAAAUUUUCAAGUAACUUAUGACGACUAAAUCUUCAACUGGUUCAACAAAAUCAUAAGAAAUACUCAAGUACCUUUCUUCAUGCAUUCGGCAAUGUGAUCAGAAGAAAACUGUUCUUCCUCACCCCUUCGCUCAACCAUCACUUUUCGAUAGUCCUCCAACAUUAUAGGAGCCAAUGCCUUUGUCGGAUACUGCAGGACAAUCACGAAAAACCGUUACAACAAGAACAUCAAAAUACCAAUUGACACAGACAUUUUCCCGAGCACCUUACCGUCAUGUAAAUGGGGCCACGAUAUCCGCAGACUUCAGUGAAAUAAGGGAGGGCUCCAACGUGAUCCAAGUGACUGCCCAAUUGCAAAAGAUCAACAAAUAUUGAGGUAAGUCUACUGAACCAUAAAGAAUUUAAAAUAUUAGAGUUGGUUUUUGUUUUCUUUUCGUACAAGUGGGUGAUGAUGAUGCAAGUGAGGGCGUGAUCGAAGUUCGGGUCGGGUUCGGGUUUAGGAAUGAGAGAGAAGUCGGGGUAGCGUUGGUGGUCUAGAUGCCCCAUAUGCAUUCCGCAGUCGAACAUGAUUCGCUUCCCAUUGAUUGUCACCACUACACAGCUCUUACCUACCUCUUGCCCAGCGCCUGAUGACCCCAAAAAUAAUUAAUUAAUUAAUUAAUCAAUUUAAGGCAAAAAGUAAAAAAUUCUGGGAGAGAAUAGAAUGAAGGUGAGGGGUAUAGUUACCGAGGACGAGAGAGUCGAUGGCCAUGAGAAUGAGAUACGCAGCUUCUUGGCGCGCUUUUGAGUUUCGGCGUUUGAUUCGUUCGUUUUGUGGCAGAAUUUAAAUAAAUAACAGCCGAAUUAAUGAAAAAUUGAUACAAUUACGGGCUUUACAACCAAUGGCCCAGAGAGAUUCAUGACGGACCCGGCAUCGAAAACAGGCCAACCGAGCCAGCACUAUCCAGGAAAGCAUAAAAUAUAGGUUUUUUUGGGUCAUUAGGAAGGGGAGGAAACUUGAACCCAAGACCACUUUAGAGCACACCAAAGACCUGGAUCAGUCCAACAAAACAUAGGAAUUUUGAGGGAAUGAAAACCAGCUAACACCCCAUUGGUAAAACAUACGAAUGCAAUUAACCCUACACCCUAAGUCUGGUUUUCGAAUCCCCGUCCAUGCUCUAUGCCUUUGGUUUCAGUUUUAGGUUUAAUCUCAAGGAAAUCACACACUGAAUAUCAAUCACAAUUUCUGCUUGCUGAACCCUACUCUUAUUUCUUGUUAGAGAAGACUCGAGAGAGUGAAGCCCAACCCAUUUCAAUUUGUCAGAAAGUUUCUGCUGGUUUAUUUCAUUCCAGACUGCAAACGACAAAGAGAACGGCGUAAGUAAAAAAUAAAAAUGAUGGUUUUGAUUUGAGGCCCCAUUUCAAACCAUAGUAUAUAUCAUAAAGCUAAUAACAUUAUAGCCCAGUCCCCUAACGUGAGCUUGAUAGGGACUAUAUAGGAAUUUAACAUUCUACCAGACAUACAUAUAUAUAACCAACAGUGGACUAUAGAUGAAUUAACACAACCACAAAAGAUCUGAUCUUGAUCUGGUUACAAGAAUAUUAACAAACCCUGAACCAACAACAAUCACACUAGCUGCAAUUACAAAUAUAAACUGCAAAAGAUAGAACAAAAGUAAAAACCAAUAAGCUACCUAUACAACACAAUCAUUGCCCACUCACGACACCACAAAAGGUUAGCCCAAAGUCAAUAAUCUUCUUCCCUUUCUCUUCUUUUCUGCUGAUCUCUAAGCAUGGGAAUAACAAUCUACGUCAGAAGCAUACCGACUUCUUUCUCUGAGUUUGCCCUCCUUUUUGGAUUCUCUCCUUGCCAGCUUUGGUGAACACAGUAUCAUCGGCAUGCCAGCUACAAUCUUUUAAUCAAUCACAGUAGGGGGGAAAAGGAAAAAUAAUAAUAAAAUGUGGAAAAUGGAAGGAAGAACAAGGCCUAUGCAGAUUAACGCCUUUAUGCAGUUGCAAAUUAGGAUUUUUGUCAUUGGGUGCUGCGUGUUAACCCACCUCGUGCCAAACCUCUGCACAAAUAUGUGAAACACGUCAACUUCUACAAGUUAUGUAAAAACAAUAAUCACCACCAUAGCCACAAUUAUUCUCAUCAGAGCACAACAUUCAUAUAGUGGUUGUACAUUUAUGUGAGAAUGAGAUUUUAAAUGAUCUGGCAGUUUUAUCUUUGGAAAGAGAAAAAAACAUAUGUUUCCUAUAUACGCUCUAUAUAAUUUGAAGGUAUAAAUAGUAAGUACCAAGUGUAACAAAUUUACACAAAUGAGGGGAUAAAUAUCCUAAAGCAAGUUGAUCCAUCAUCGCCAAUCUCUCUAUUACUAAGAAAACUUAAUAAAUGGUACAACCAUAAAACUAGUUUGGCCUAAGACACUACAGGUGGUAAGAGAUUGAAAAAUAAUUACCUUCCAGAAAGAACCUGAGCACUGUUGACAGAACCUUUGGCAUUACCAAACCGCUUGGCCCUAUUCUCAUGUUCUUUGUCCACACGCAUGGCAGCCACCUCCUUCUCCAUGGCAGCAACUUCUCUUCUCAUUUUCUUUGCCUCAACCUCCAUUGCUUUAGUCAAGGUAUCUACCUUCUUAGCCAACAUCUGAAAGACAAGAAUCACAAAUGAAUACUUAACCAAUAGCACACAUUACAGAAUAAUAGACUGAUAGAAAAGAAUAUCGACCUCGAUAGCGUCGUCCUUAUCUUUCAGGCUUUGAUCUUUCUCAUGUCCAGCUUUCCUCAAAGCUACAACCUCUUUCUGCAGCAAAUCAUACAAAACCCCUGGAACACUAUCCUCUAUAUCCACUGUUGAGAAUUCAUUUGGCUUAUCAUCCGAAUUUCCCUUCCAGUUAUUUUGUGCUUCACCAUCCUUGGUUCCCUCACAAGAUUGGUUAACUGAGAAACUAGGGCUUGUACCAUUUAAGAGAAGCUUACCCCUGUCCAGUGACCUUGUACCACCAUCAAAUGAUUUUGAUGUGCCUUUAGCAUGCUUCAACACUGAACUGGUGCUAGAGGACAAAGACCUGACCGGUGUUCUCUUGGAUAAAUAGCCAUUGGAAGUUAAUUUUGGAAUAUUAUCAGCCCCACCCAGAGACUGGCGUCGAGAGGGCCCAUUGCUUGUACUUCUUCCCUCAGCUGUGCUGCGAUUAGUACUGCUAGAAGAUCCUCUGACACUCUCCUCAAGCACUUUAAGUCGCAUAUGGUAUUUUUCCUGUUAAAUACAAUAGAGAACUUUUACUCUACAUAACAUCCCACCUUUAAAUUACAUACAAAUUUGAAAUUGAUGGCAGAACUGGAUUAUUACUUUCAACUGAGCUUCGGACUUGGCGGCUCGCUCAGUUAUGGCAAGCUUAUCACGGAGUUGCUGCAUUUCUCCCUGUAAGAACACAGUUUGGCAAUUACAGUAAACAGUAAAGCCAAACACUGAAAGCUCAAAGAAAGUCAGUAAGAAGCUAAGAGUUCGACCAAAAAAGAAGAUAAGAACCACUACCUGCAAGAAUCUCCGUUCUUCAAGCCAUUGUUUUACAGGCAUCACUUUGUCAUUAGCAUCUUUCCACUCAUUUGCUACCACUACAGCUACUCUGUUUGCUGUUACUUUUGCACGGGCCAACUCCCGGUCUAGAGUUUUCCUUUCCUCCUGAGAAACACAAAACCAUACCUCUUCAAUCUUAAGAAUGCUUUCAACUACAGGUUACAGGUUAACAAUAAGCAAAAGCCAAUAUUGAGCAUCUAUAUAUGUUUGGCAUAUUACAUUCAUCUCCUGGAAUUUCCGCUGAUAAUCCCUCACAGCAUUUGCCGCUGCACCUCCAGCAAGAACAGCCUCUUCCAACUCCCGCACAGUCUGAGUAAGCUUUUCAACCUCGGCAACCUUUUGUCUAUGCAUCUUGUCUAAAAUUUUAUUUUCUUCCUACCACACAGAAGCAGUAGAAAUAUAAAUCAUCCUAGUCGAACACCAAAAGCAGGAAACUAUAAUAUUAAAUUCCCAACACCACCGCCAAAAGAAGAAAAAAUAUGUCUAAUGCACUUAAAGAAACGAAUAUCAUGCAUGACCUUGCACUUACCUGACAAAUUUCUAUCUGUUUCAUUAACUCUUGGUUUUUAUUCUGAAGAUCAUCCACCAUGGAGGCCUUAGCCAAAGCAACCUGAACAGUCCUCUCAGCCUCAAGUAGAGCUGCUUCUUUUGAUUUGGUAAGGCGAUCCAAAGCUUUGUUAUCAUCUUGAAGCUUUGCAAUCUGUAAGCAGCAAAGUAACUAAUUAAUUAAACUUACAAGUCACCAUAAAUUCCGUCUGCUAGGGUAACACACAAAGUACCUCUUGUCGAGCAAGCUUGAGCUCAGCCUCCAGAGGUGCAAGAAUGGCUUCAAUUGGAGGCAUAUCAUCAUCCUUUUGGGCAGCAUGAACCCUGCGUAGAGUAGCUUCAGCUGCAAACUGAGCUGCCAUGGAAGCUUUCUUCUCAUCAUUGAUUUUUUUAAUUUCUAGAUUCUGCAAAACAUUUUUUGACGAAGUAGAAUUGUGAUAACAAGUAUAUAUAACCAAAGUGAAAAUAAGUUUGCGAACUUUCAGAUAAGUUGAGACGAGGAUCAAAUUCAAAUAAUACUUUGCUUUCUAGAAGUGAUUCUGUUAACUUCAGCUUCUCCUCCACCUUCGAUAGUUCAUCAGUGAGCUGCAAUGUAAUCAAAACACAGAAAAAUAGAAAAGUCAGCAACCAUUUUAAUGACAUACUAGUUAAAUGAGAGAGAAAACAAAGGAAAAAAAUUCCCCUAAUAUUACAUAUAUCAAAAUUUAAGAUUUAUGAUGUCCAGCGUUCCAGAUUAUCAGAAAACAAAAUUCUUUGAUAUCUCUCAAAGUGGCUAAUGGAAACAAAUGCAAGUGUCACAAUAAAGGAGGAAACCAUGAGCUAUAUUGCAAACAUGAGAAAAUGUACCAAUUAAGGCUGUUAAGCAUUUUCCUUCUCUCUCUUUUUUUCUUUUUGUUCUUUUUUUGGUGAACAGGACUGUUGAGCAUUUAAGCUCACAUGCCAACAAUAUUCCUAUACAAGUAAUACAUUACUAUACAUACCAAAAUUUUGGGCCAAUUAAAAUAUGUUACCCCAGAACUAAAAAAGGAAUAAGAACUAGUUAAAUUCUUUUUCAGGAAGAACAAGUCAAAUUCUUAAUAAUCAACUUAUGCUAGUUAGUCCUCCAGAAAUGGAAACCAAAAAAUAAAUUAACCCUUGCCUUGCCCCUGAGUUACUAGAAAACAGAUUCCCUAUUGAUCAUAAUAAUUGUUAAAAUAGCCAUCGUCUACUCCUGCAAUUCCCAGGAUCCUAAAAUAUGGGCUAAAUGUAACUUUUAUUAUUAAGGAAGAAACACGAAUAAGAAUAAUUCUUCAGACGUGACUGAUAUUGCCCGGAGAUAAGGAAACUAUACAAAUUUCAAUUUAAAUAAGAUUUGAGAUUCAAAUUCAAGACAAACACAUAAGCUGCUUGGCAAAGAUGCCAACCUAGAAAAUCCAGAAACCAAUAUUAGUAUACACACAUGGACACGCACAAAAAAAAAAAAAAAAAAAAAAGAGCAGCUCGAAAAAUCAGCGUAAUAGCAAAUGACGAAAAUAACCUCUUCAACAGCCUUUUCUCUGGCUCUUUCAGAGAGCUUGAGAGCCUUGAUCUGAGCCUGUGCCUCUCCUAACUCCCGGUCCUUAUCUGCAAAACUCACCCAAAAACAACAGUCAAAACGGAGAAACUACACUCUAAAUCGAGCAAAAGCAGUAGCAAAUCUCGAGAAAACCAGCGGAUCGAGCCGCAUUCGCACCUCUGACUUCAUUCUCGAGCCGAUUGAGCUCGACCUUGACCGGAUCCGAGCCGUGCAAGAGGUUAAUGAACUCGUCGCCGUCCAUGCUCGGCCUCAUGAAUCCUCUUCUCCGCGAUGAACUCUUCCCCUCCUUGAACGAUCCCGACACCGUCAGUGGCGGCGGUGUCGGAGUAGCCCCCGGAGCCGGUCCAUUACAGCUGAACUCCGCCACCGGAGUCGUACCUCCGUCGCCGGAAACCUCAUCCAUAGCCGAUCUGAGUAGCGCACACUCUUUCACAUCCAAAUGCAGGUCAGGAUCCGAAAUGCCUAGGGUUUCAAAUCGUAGAUAAAUAUACAGAUACGCAGAUUACAGAUAUGUAGAUAUUGAGAGAGAAGGAGAGAAGGAGAGAGUGUUGAGCUUUUGGGAAAAAUGGUGAUUUUUAGAGAGAGAAAUGGAGUGGGUUUUCUCUUGCUUUGUAUUUUCUCUCUCUAGAUUGUGAUUUAAAUCUGGUUGUGGCUAGAGAGAGAGUGAGUAGAUUUAGUUUGAUUAAUUAAAUAGACUGGCGAAGAGGAAUGGGGACGCUUUGCUGUUAAGCAGACACUAGUGCAUGCGACUCUCAGUAUUAUUAAGUAAACUCCUUCAAACAGUUAAUAAUACUCCUACUUACUUUGAUUUGUUUCUUUUUGUUUUUCUUUUGGGCUUUGGGCUUUUUUGGUCUUGCGAUGUUUACUUCUAGGAUAAGCUGGAAGCGUAAUGCGCACUCUCACGCAAAGGGAAGGCCUCUGGGUACCGUAUACGCACAGUACAUGGAUGCGCAUGGUAGCAGGCUAGCAGCGCUAUAUAUUUCAGUAAUUCUUGUUUUUUUUUUUUUCUCAUUGUUAAGAAUUCAGUUUUUCUAUUCCAAUUGUUAUUACAACAAAGAUGACAAUAAAAUAUUAACGUCAUAUACAUUUCUAAAAAUAUAUAUUUUUAAAAUAGCGACUUUUUUUUAAUUAACGGGUCACGUGGGUUCGAACUUGACAUUUUUUUCAAUAUUGAUAAUCAAAAUAUCAUUAGACUAAGAGCUAAUUAGAGCAUUGGCAAUAGUUAGAAUCAAUGCAAUUUUAUUGCAUGAAAUUGAUCAAAAACAGUAAAAUCUCAUUUGUAAUAGUGUGAUUUAGUUCAUUGCAGUAGAGGGUAUGAACUCUCUAUUGCAACCAUGGGUCCCACAUGCAAAUAAAUAAAUAAAAUUACAGCAAUUAAUGCGUUAUGUAACAUCCGCAAUGGUUGUUCAAUAAUUCAAUUAAAUAUAAUAAAUAUAUCAAUUAAAUUUUUUUUCCAAAUAUAUUAAAAAUUGAUCUGUUUUUAAAGAUCUAUUUGAGAAUAUUGUAAUGGUAUAUUUUUUAGUGUUAUUAAAUUUAUCUUUUUUAUUUUAUUUGAGUAUGUAAAAAGACGUGUAAAUAGAUAUAACUAUUUAUCGAAAGCUAUUGAACCGUACAAAUGCAAGUAAAAACUGCAGUUCAAUUCAAUAGAUGCUAAAAAAGAUCAAUUUAUUGAACUAUUGAACAACCAUUGCGGAUGCUCUUAGUUAAAACAUGGUAUACCUAACAUUUUAUUUCAAACUCUUUAUUUUGUGACAAAUCAACCUAGUUUUUAAGAAAUCCCUAAUUCUAUCACUUUUCUCUCUUUUUUUUUUCUUUUACUUUUUUUUAUGAAUAAUCUAACACUCUUUCAUAGUAAUAAAAUAUAUGCAACUAUCAAAAGAAUUUUAAACAUGAGAAUGAAAGAGAAACAAAUAGAAAAUGAGGCAUUUAAGUUUUUGUGAGGAAUUUUUUAAUAUUUAGUACGACAUUACUAGUAUAAAUUUUCUAUACAACAACAUUUGAGAGAGGCCAGUGCCCAUGGCAUGCACUGGCUCCUUAUCACUAUGUUGUUUUUCAAUAGGAGGAAAAUUAUAACAAUCGUAUCAAGAACAACUACUUGUCUAAAUAGACCCCUUAAAAGAAGAUAAUAUUCAAUGUUAACCUUGGACAGGGUAGCUAGUGAGACUGCCCUAGGCUCACCAUUCAGAGGCCCCAAUUUGUUAUUUUUUUAAAUACGGUGUUAGAUUAUAUUUAUUAUAUUUUUAAAAACAUUUUAUUAAAAAAAAAAAAAGUAACAUGGGGUCUUUCAACUUUUUUAAACUAUAGUUGAUUGCAAAUUUGAAGUUUUAAGUUUGUUGUUAUGGAAGAGGAUUUCUCAAAUUCCAAGUUAUGCUGUUCUUUGUUUAUUAUUUGAAGUAUUAAAAUUUUAUUGGAUUUCCUUCUACUGUUUUUUAUUACAAGUUGCAACAAUUCAUGAAAAAACAACAAUCUGAAAUUAAAAAAAAGAAAAAGAAAUUAUUGAAUUGUUACAAGUAUUUAUCUUGCUUAUGCAUUUGAUUUGAAUAAGACAAGUCAAAUUAUAUAUAAGGGCUUAAUCUUUUACAUUUGUUAUGGAUCAUGAAAAUUCAGGACCGUCCUGAUAAUAUUCCAAAACUUUACAUAUGAAAAAUGAGACAAGUUGAGCAUCUAACAUUAUCUAUUUGGAAUGCAUCAUUUUCUCUAUAAAUGCAUGGAAGAUUUUAUUCCAUAUGGCCAACUAUGAGGCACGCUCGAUUUUCAAAUACAUUCGGAGCAUGUAGAGAAAGAUUUUUGUAUCGCAAACCUCAUUUGGAUGAAAGGAAGGAUGUGGGAAGUUGUAUGAGCCAUUGCAUUGCAUGCAUAAAUCCAACUCUGAUCUGAACAGUCUCAUGGCUCACGAUGAAACAAUUAUCACGGGUGCAAUGUCUAAUUGGGACCAGUAAUAUCAAAUUAGAAAUUCAUAAACAGACUCGAGAGUGGUAAGUGUCAUUGUCAAAUAUUGAGAAAAUAACCAAAGAAAACUGUAAUUCAAGUGAUAUUGUAGUAAUCAAAUAUUAAGGGCAUGGCAUUAUCAGGCAUUAUUUAGGCAGUAAAUCACUUUCGCCCACCUGCCCAAAAUCAGUUCGCCAAUAGCAUCGCAGGCCAAUAACGGUUUUGGUAUGCUCAGCCCAAUUGGAGACUCAAUAUAUGCAAGAAGACUUAUUACAACAAGUAGCAUCUUUGUUUCCUAUAUUAUGAACAAGCCCUGGAUGGAGUAUGCUCAAAUUCUCUCAGUUUUUGUGCACUUUUUGGGAUAAAAUAGGAGGGGGAUAAGGUAAAGAAAUUGGAAAAGAUAGCAAAAGCUGCUGCAUUGGCCUUUUUGAUAACGUUGCUAUCCCUUGAAGAAUCAACAUGACUGGAAGGUCGAGUGAGAUAUUUUCUUUUUUUCUUUUUGGGUAUAAGUAGAAAGCUUUAUUUUAUAUAUAUUUUUAAAAGCUCUUAAUCUGGAUUUCAGUAGGCAUAAAAACGGAUUUGAAAGUGAGUGAAUGGGUUGUGUCCCCUCAACCACCUAAACUAUGCUUUUUUCUGAUUUCGAAAUUUAAAAACAAACCGCUCAUCAUAUAAAACACACAGUGACACUUCACAAUUUGCUGCUUGAGGUUCAACGGCAGAGCGAUGCUGACACUACACUGACUGACCACCUGUACGGCCUCUGAAGAUUAACGAUGGGACCCAUUUUACUCUCCCUCUUGCCACUCUCUUCCCUAAUUCCAUUAUUUUCUAUCAGCAAAGCUCCAUCGCCUGCCCUGCAGUCAU